Molecule: long non-coding RNA, 52783 nt
Filed under: Sorghum bicolor (sorghum)
Lineage: Eukaryota; Viridiplantae; Streptophyta; Magnoliopsida; Poales; Poaceae
Description: long non-coding RNA (SBIC_LNC006243)
Rfam family: Plant small nucleolar RNA R71 (bases 10210-10316)
Source: RNAcentral
UGCUAGAAUUCUGGAGAAUUUUAUCUUUGAAAAUCUUUAAAAUAACACAUGAUGAGUUUCUGUAUGAUGAGAGUUUAAAUUCCUACCACAGCUAUAUAUAUACAUGCUUGCUAGACUUUGAGCCACACAUUUACUUUUUACUGCUUAUGAGCAUUGAGUGUGGUCAAGCUGUGUAGACCCUUAGGAGCUUGUCAUGUGGUUAAAUCAAGAUUCACUUGCACGUUUGUUGAUAUUUGGGAACGCAAUAAGGAAUUGAUCCGCAAGCGCACGGAUAUCGGUGAGCACUUCACCCAGGAGGUUAUCCAGAGUAUCGUAUUUAUUUUUUUACCACUAGGAGAAAGAGUGCAUCUGACUAACCUGGUCUAUUACUACUAACCCUUUAGGCAACAAAGAAUGUUUCUCGAUGUGAGUGAUAAAUAGAGAAGACUACAACUGUAAUCUCUUUCUAACCUUGGUAAGGAUGAUCUACUGUUCUAUUGGGGAGGCUAACGGAAUCUAGACACCACAAAGGAUGUUCAACCCGCACCUAUAAACCCUAUCCUUCCUGCUAACGAGAUAUGGUCUGCAAAGGUAACUCGAAAAUGUCACGUUCCUCGCUACUACCACGGUCUAGCUAGUCAAGAAAUAUCUAUGAGUACCCUAGCCUAAACACCACGUUUACACUAGCAAUGAUUACUCUAAACUCUACGCGAAGAGAUUAAAGUAAACUCAUAAACCAAAAGAAUAAUAAAACAAGAACUUACUAGAAUUUAGAAGUCGAAAUACUGAAGAAUCCUAGGAGCAAGCCUCGGGUUAGGAGAACUUGAUCCCGCAGGUACAAGCUCGGAGUAGACACCGACAGGCCGGGCUUCCUCCGAUCUACAACUCCACUCUAUCUCUCUCAAUCUAGUAGAAACUAGAAGAUCUAUUUCUACUCACAUUGGAUGCUAAGCCUAAAAAGAAAUUUUAUUUAGAGAAGAGGUUUUCCUUCGAGGGCUCCCCUCAACUCUAUGAUAAACUUGUCUCCUCCAGGGGCCAGGGGGUCUGGUUUUAUAGUGCCCUCAAGUGAACGUGAGCCGUUGGAUCAAACCGACAUUGAUUGGACGGUUAUCCUUGAUCCUUUAGGUCGGUGGAACGUCGUGUGCGAAAAGAGUCCUGAUUGGAGUACAGAGGGGGGCGGGCGCCCAGGUUCUCAGGGCGGGCGCCCUGGGCCUGGCCCCUUUCGGCCUCUGCUUCGUUCUCGUGGCUUCUGGAGUCUUGUAGAUGGUAGAAAAUUGCGUGGUGCGUUGAUAUCUCUAUGUAAUCCCGACAUGUGGGCCUUUCUUCCUUAUUUCCUGAUAACCCCCUGCAGAAACAGAUAAACAACAAAACUCGUGGAAUUCUGUCAGAUCAAACCCUAAUUCUAGGUGUUGUUUGUAUAUUGGUCCUCUCUAUUGUUUAUUUGAUAAUUAAAAUUGAUACUUAAGAACCGUCAACAAAUACCCCCAUACUUAGGCUUUUACUCGUCCUCGAGAAAAGGAUGGUUAAGAACAUUAUCUGGGGUAAAACAUUUUUAAAAUAUUCUCUUCAUAACUGCAGGGUGUUUAAAAUCUACAGGGAAGUAUAUGGUUAAGAGUAGAGAUCCUUUCUUCUCAAUCCUGUCACUUGGAGUUUUUGUAUAUUUUUGAAAGAAAGUUAGCAUACCUUUUAUCCUCAUAGGUCUUCCCAGAUCACUCAUUAUCUUUUAUAUAUCUCACUGAGGCUGUUUUAAUUUGCAAAAAAUCUCAAGCAUACUUACUUUGCAUUUAUUGCCUGAUCAAAACGGGAUCCGAGGAGGGGAAUGUCAUACUCUUAGAUCAAAGACUUUGGAAAUUAAAAUCUUUGUCAACUCUUGCUGGCAUAUUGCUUAUUAGAGGGACCAUGGGCUAUCAUUUUCUCUUUUUUUUAAGUGGAUACCGAGGUACCCCUAAUUCUACUGCCGGACACUUGUCCAUUUUUUUUCUGCGAGGUUGUCGAGCACUUGCUCCUUUUUAUUUCCUCGAAAUAUCUUUAUUUUUGCAUAGCACAUGCCUCUAAUGCAAUAAUACUUCGGAAGAGUGAAUCUUUCUGAAUAAAUGUCUUGAUCUUAGGGGCAUGAUAAAUCUCUCAACAAGGGUCUAACUCAUUUUGAACAAACUCAAUACAGAGUAGAUAGCCUUUAUAAUCAUAAUUAAUAUUUUCAGUUUUAUCAGGCAUAAAACACUGAGGAUGGUAGCUAUUUGAAGAUUUUGAAAUAAAUUCUCCAAGCAACAAUGAUAUCAAGAAUAAGAAACUCAUACUCUACCAUCUCACAUUCCAUAUUGACUUAAGUAACACAGGGUUUUAAAAUGAUUUUAUAAUAGUUGCAAGUUUUCAGGAAAUAUCACAGAGUGAGAUUAAUUCAUGAUUAUAAACAUUUUAAUCUUUAUCAUGUUGGAAACAAUAUUCUGCAUAAUCCAAGAUAUGUGUAUGUGUAAAGUAAAGUGUGUAGAGUAUGUACCUGAAUUGUGGAGUGGUGUAGUCGAAGUGUGUUUGGCAUCUCAAGGGAUCUCCCCCAUACUUGUUUUCUGCUUUCUUGCACAAGAAUAAAGUAGAGACACACAAGACAUAAUAAUAAUACUCUUUAUUAAUCUUGAGGCAUUUAUUACAAAUGACUGGUAGCAAACUGACGAUAACAGUAGCAAACUGACAAUAAUAGUAAACCUAAACCGAAUUUAAAGAUAAAUGACUAAGAUGCAUUGCCUCAAGGUCUAACUAGAUAACUUAGCGGCGCUCUAAUUCCUUAAUCUUCUUAUUGGCACUGGCAAGAUCCUGCCUAAGGCCUAGUAUAACGGUGUUGUGGUUAGAGAGCUGCCUAGUGAGGGAAUUAAUCGAGGAUUGGAGGUCCAUGAUAACUCUGUCUAGCCUGCGAACGUCCUCAUCAAUAUCCAUUAUAGUCUUGCAACGCUUGGGAGGUGUCUCAAAAGCAUUGAGAGCGUGCUUUGGGGUUGCUUUUGGAGGGAUGAAAUAGACUUUGGCUGCUCUAAUCCCUUCGAAGUAAGGCCUCUCCUCCUUUGUAGUGUAACGAAUGCUGCUGAUCUCACCGCUCCGGUUGGUCUUGACUCCAACGACCCUCUCAUUGGGUCUAGGUGGAAGGAUCCUCGUGCCGGUUGGCACCUUGAUGGUGGUCUUCGUCUUGGAUGAUGAUCCCUUAAGGAGUAGGGGUUGUGGCGGUGCGGUGAGAACUGGUUGAGCAUGAUAAGAUUGGGCGGAGCUGCGUUGGCGUAAUGGCAUGGCUUCUAGCUGUCGCUCUGUGUUGGCCGGGACAAGAGCACGGGCAUCGGGGUCUUCCGCAGGCUCCAUGUUGAGGUUGAAGGGGACGACUUCCCAAUCAUCGUGGAACUUCUCGGCCAUUGGAGCAUCGAGCAACUAAACAAGUUCUAAUUGAAGAAGAAGAGAAGGCUUGGUGGUUUGGUGUUUUGAAAACUGAUGUCAGGGGUCUGUUUAUAUAGGGGUCAAAAAGUGCCUCUAGGGGUUGUUCUGGUUGCUCCCGUCGAUGGGCAUGCGAAACUUUCCAUCUGAGGGAUUAUUCGGAUUACCAUAAGUGCAUUUUCCAUAACAGAGAAGAUCAGAACCGAGGGGGAACAGGAGCUGGGCGCCCGCCCACCUAAUCUGGGCGCCCGCCCUCUCUCUGUCUCCUCUGUGGGCCCGCUUCCUCAAGCGUGUUUCUAGACGCAGACUUAAUUAGGAAAAUAUAUAUAUGACCCAAAAACGUCAGACUAAAAAGGUCGGGCUCUAAUUCUCCAUAGGAAGGAAAAAAUGGAUUACGUCUAUUUCUUCUAAUUCUUUAUUAGGCUCUAAAAACAAUUUAAGACGUUGACCAUUUACCUUGAAUAACGUACCUUCGUCAUUUUGAAGUGUGAUAGCUCUGUGGGAUGAUGAAUUAAUUACCUUGAAUGGUCCUUCCCAUUUGCUCUGGAGUUUUCCAUGCCCGAAAAGCUUCACCCUGGAAUUAAAAAGUAAUACCUUAUCUUCGGGUGCGAACUCCUUCUUCUUGAUUCUCUUGUCAUGCCACCUUUUUACUUUCUUUGUAGAUCUUCGAAUUGUGAUAUGAUUUCUCUCGCCAUUCUUCCAAUUCUGAUAGUUGCAUUCUUCUAUGAUCUCCAGCAACAUCUAGGUCCAUAUUCCAUCUCUUUAUGGCCCAGUGUGCUUUGAACUCUAGUUCAACAGGUAGGUGGCAAGUCUUCCCGUACACCAAUUGGUAUGGAGACAUUCCAAUUGGGGUCUUGUAUGCUGUCCGGUAUGCCCAGAGUCCAUCGGGUAACUUGUCUUUCCACGCUGUUCCCAUUUCAUUUACUGUCUUCUGAAGAAUAUUCUUGAUUUGCUUGUUGGAAGUCUCUGCUUGGCCAUGUUGGGUAUUCUUAACAUCAUUACCAAAAGUAUACUAAGUUCUAAAUCUAGCAACGGUGCCAAAAAUGCCAAACCUAUCCCUCACACCACUUAAGCCAAGUUGUCAUCCCCAGCAUGACAUGAGAGACGUGGUAUUGAAAUAUGCAAUUGCUCUUCUAAAUAAAUAAUGAAUGGGAUCUGCAAGCGCACAGAUUAAUACCGAUGUAGCAUUUUAACCGGGAAGUAUUCCAGGUAUCGUUAUUUAUAUUUUUACCACUGGGAAGGGAUUAAUCAAUCAUCACUAUUGAUUACAGAAUAGAAUAUGAGAUUGAGCAUCUAUCAUUGCAUGUAUAAUUGAGAACAUUAUAUCUAACUCUUCAUACAGGGAUAAGUGUCACAUAAUAGAUAUAUGAAAUGAUAAUAGUGACAAGGAUAACUAAUCUGAUCUAGCCACAUAAUAAAUAUGAUAAGCACCUCAAUUAGAUACUCUAGAAAGUCAUUAGCAUGGUAUUAGAAUGAACUACAAGAAUAUUCCCUAAGUUAUUCUUAACUAUAUAGUCUAGCAUAUCAUAGUUAGUGCAAGCAUACUUAGCAAUCAUUGCGAGACAAGACUACGCCCAUGCAUAGUGAUAUUAGCAAGGAAAAUGAGAAACAUAGCAAUCACUCCCCUGUAAUAAUGUUGCUCUGCCAGCCCAAUACACGAGAGGGGGACUAUAUAAGAAUCAAUGAAGCUGUCACUAUCACGAACUACCCCACGAUCUGGCAUAUUGGGUACAAUCGCAGAUAAAUACGGUAUAAGCACCACGCCUACACAAUAUCUAUCAUUUACCCAUGGAUCCGAUGGAUAAACGCUAUACGAUCCUAAGCAUGUAUAUAGAUCGUAUCUAACUAAGCCAAGUAUAUAACUAUGAUAAACUAAGAACAAUAUAAUCUUGAAUAUAAGCAAAUAGAGCAAAGUCAUAAGCAAUAUAUUGAAGUAGAACAAAGUCAUAUUCAUAAUAUUGAAGAACAAAGAUAAUUAGAAAGCAAUUAGAAACACAAUUAGAGAAUUACCAAGAAUCCUCCUGACAGAUCCGGAAACCAAUCGAAGAUUGACUCCUUCUAGUUCUAAUCCUAUGUAGCUAUGCUAAUCUAGAUAUCUAAUUGAUGUGGUGGCUCUAAUCUUGAUCAGAGGCUUCUUCUCCCUUGAUGGAACAAUGAAUUAGGGUUGAGAGGCUCUCUCCUCCAGGGGCCAGGGGGUCUGGUUUUAUAGUCCCUUCAAGUGAAUAUGGGCCCUUGGAUCAAACCGACAUAGAUUGUAUGGUUUAGAUUCAUCCUUUAGGUCGGUGGAGACUUCCCGCAAAGCAGAGUCCUGAUUGGACUUAGGGGCAGGGCGGGCGCCCAGUUGGACAGGGCGGGCGCCCUGUCUCUGGCCCCGAUUCGCCUCCGCUUCGGUCUCGUGGCUUCUGGAGUCUUCUAGAUGUAAGAUAAUUGCGCAGCACGUUAAUAUCUUUACGUAAUCCUGACAUAUGGGCCUUUCUUCCAUAUUUCCUGAUAACCCCCUGCAGAAAUAGACAAACACCAAAACUCGUGGAAUUCUGUCAGAUAAAACCCUAAGUCUAGAUCUUUAUUUCAUUUGGAUCCUUUUCUUUAUUUAUUUGAUAAUUAAAUUUGAUACUUAAGGACCGUCAACAAACUCCCCCAAGCUUACCUCUUGCUCGUCCGUGAGCAAGGAUAGACUCAGCUAUGGAUCAGAAGUUGCUGCAAUAUCUUUAAAAAUUUGACGGUACACAUGCUCUUAAAUAAGAUCUCAUCUCUGAGUUAGAGUAAACUGUCAAGACUUAAAACUUACUUACUUUACCUUCACUAUGGGACUUGUAACUGUCACUUCUGUCUUGAGUGGUUAAAAGAUAGAACAGUCUAGCCAAGUGCCAUGUCUCUUAUUCUUGAUCAGCUAUAGCUCUGGGAUUUUUGCAGAUUUUCAAAUAAAACUCAGAAUUCCUUGUAUGAUUCUCUCAGGUCUCUCUUUUGUGGUAUUUUUGGAUCCUUACCAAGGCAUUGAUGGUAUAUGCCUUCUCUCAAGAUAUGUGGUAUUUGUGGUAUGAGGCAUAGUAACAUUGCCUUCUCUCUCAUCCUACUCUAAUAAGGCUUUAAUAUCUUUAGCUCAUAGGUGGGAGAUAAAAUAUACAUACUUACAAGACAUGUAUUGCAUAGUCAAACCAUGGAUCCAAAGUAACAAGUCAAUAAGUUUAAUCAAGAUGUGCAUGUGUGGCGAAUGAAUGGUAUAUGGUGAUGAUGGUGAUAACAAUGGUGAAAACAAUGGUGAAAACAAUGGUGGUGAAAGUCUAAUUCUACUUUGCUCUUCUGAGGGGAUACAUACCUUCCUUGCUUUUGAAACUUUAUGAGGAGAAUGAGAUGCUCUUCUUUUUCUUUUCUCUCAGGUGGGUAUCUUGCACCCCUAAUUCUACUGUCGGACACUUGUCCAUUUUUACCUCUCGUCUCACUUUUUCUUUUCUUUCGAGGUUCCGAGCACUUGCUCGUUUUUAUUUUCUCGUAUUAUUCUUCUCUCUCUCUUUUUUUUAGAGCACUCAUCUCUUGAGAUAAUAUAGCAAGUGGUAGUAACAAGAUAACUUGAGCAUUUAUUUCACAAGGAGAAAACAGAAAUAUUUUUGGUUAUUCUCUCCCGGAUUAGGAGUAGAAUAUUUUUAGGUGGUUCUGGAGAUGGAAAUGAGUGGAUGUAUGUGGAUGGUACUUCCAGAGUAGAAGUAGCAUAUAUGAGUGAACGUGCAAGUGAAAUCUUGAUUUAACCACAUGACAAGCUCCUAAGGGUCUACACAGCUUGACUAUACUCAAUGCUCAUAAGCAGUAAAUAGUAAAUGUGUGGCUCAAAGUUUAGCAAGCAUGUAUAUAUGGCUGUGGUAGGAAUUUAAGCUCUCAUCAUACAGGAACUCAUCAUGCAACAUUUUAAAGAUUUUCAAAGAUAAAUUCUCCAGAAUUCUAGCAUCUCUAGGAACAGAUAAACAGCAGCUCAACCUUCCUAUAUCGUAUCCGUUAACAACUUAGACUUCUGAUCAAGUUUUCAUCCCACAAGUUUAGGUCUAGGGCAAGCUUUAAAUUAUAACAGUUAUGUCUAAACUUGAGAGAGAACUUAAAAUAUGCAAAUUAGGCAGAGCAACUAUUCAUCAUAUCCAUGCUUAAGUUUUAUUAGAUACAGAUUAGCAUAGCCACUUUAUUUAUUUAUUUAACACACUAAGCAAAAGACAUAUAUAAGCAUAAAAUCUUUAUUUGGUUUUCCCAUAGUUUAUGUGUAUUAAUAUUCUAAAAUAAUAUAAGUAUAAAGAUAGAUAAAAAUACUUAUCGGAAUAAAUGGGGGUGCUCUCCCCCAAGCUGAAUUUUGACGUAAUUUCUCUCGAUGUAGCUAGCAGGUGGCAGAGGUGUAGUUGAAAGUGAGCAGCAUUCUGACAGCGAUUAGAAUGUCCUCCGUCUGCUAGUCUUCUUGAAUUCUGUGGAGCACAAAUAGACAACAAAGCUUGUGGAACUGAUUAAGUGUUAGCAUAAAUAUAUAGCCUUCAUCAUCUUGAGACUCCUUAAUAAUUAUUAUUCCCUAUUUUUAUAUUUUUAUUUUAUAAAGCAGAAAAAUAUUUAUUUUAUUUUUAUGCCACCACAGUGAAUGUACGUAUGGGUUUUAUGCCACUCGUCUAUUCACAUGGGGCUUACUAUUUUUCACAUUUUUAUUUUCUUUUUAAGACAGUAUGAGCAUGUUUAACUAAGUAAACUAUUUAAAAUAACUGAAAGGGAAAGGGUAACUACCAAGUUUACCUCUUGGCAAGGCGUUCGGUGUUUUUAAGUCCUCCGAACGGGACUCUCCAAUUUCUUAAUCGUCCUGAGGUUCGUUGGGUGGCGUAGUCGGUACUUCCGGCAGCGCCUCCUCUUCUUGUAUAGUUAUCUUCAUUUUCCACACCUGACUCGGUGCUUCAAUCUCCUCUGGAUAAUUCUGUUUAAACUCUACGUCUUCUGACCUUACAACUUCUCCUUCAUAGUCUGCCCAUCCGUCCUUAAUGAUCUGCCUCCUCUGGUUGCGGUUGCGUCGUUUUCUUACCUGCUUAGAUUCUUCAAUGAUAUAGUUAGGGUCAGUAAAAUAACAGCGUACCUUCUCUGAGGGGAAGUGCAUAUGGACUUCUCCGGUUCCAAUGUAGAUAAUGGCUUUAACGGUGCUGAGGAACGGUCUUCCAAGGAUGAUGGGUGGAUCAUACUCGUCUUCUCCCAUGUCAACAACUUGAAAGUCUGUGUAGACAAAAUGAUCGUCUAUUUUGACUGGGACAUCAGAUACUAUUCCUUGAACUUCUCGAAAUGUCUGAUCUGCCAUCUGGAGCUAAAUGUAUGUUCAUCUUAGUGGCAUGGUCCCGAACAAAAGCCGAUAGGUGACUGCGGCCAUUAUGUUGACGCCCGAUCCGGUGUCACAAAUGUCUUAUCUUGAAGUGUUCCUUUUGGAGCAGUAAUGCUUGGCAUUCUUGGGUCGUCCUUCUUGGUCAGCACGGUGACUUAAGUUGGUGAUCUUGGCCUCCAUGGACUACAGUGACCAUCUGAGCUGACUCGGUCCACACUUGCUUGUUCCUGUUCCUCCUGUUGGUCCUCUUCCUUGAUUGACGUCUGGAUUGAUUUGGAAUUUGUGUAGUCUUGUUUUUGAAGAAAAAUGUUUCCUUCUUCCCUUUGACAUAGAAACUGAUCUUAGCAGCACUGGCGUAGAUGAUAGCUCCCGUGGUGUUCAAAAAUGGCCUCCCUAGGAUGAUAGGUGCUCUCUCAUCAUUUCCGGUCUCUACCACUACGAAGUCUGCUGGUGCAUACAAGGUACCAACUCGGACACAAAGGUUCCUCACUAUUCCUUUUGGAAAAGUUAUCGUCUGAUCUGCAAACUGCAAACACAUGGUUGUCUCUAAUAAAGGAUAUGUAAAGAAUUUCUCAUAGAGUACCCUGGGUAUAAUGUUGACACUGGAGCCAAAGUCGCAGAGUGCUUCUGGGAAGUCCACCAUGCCGAUGGAGAUCGGGAUGACGGGGCGUCCUGGAUCGCCUCUCUUGACCGGCAGACGGUCAGUAGAAAAUUCAUUGACGGGGUUACUCCAAUUACCUGCAUCAAACAUGUCUACAAGAUUUGCAGAUGCUAAUCCUUCCGGUUGUGAUGGUAUACCGGGGUUAGUAGUAGGAACAGCAGCAGCUAUCUGAUUUAACUGAGAUUCAAUCAUUUUAUUAAAGCUAAUUUGAUUCUUGAUGGCAGUAGAAAAAUUAUCCAUUCUAUUAUUUAUAUUUUCUAGCAUUUUAUCAUUAGAUGCCAAUUUCUUAGAUAGGUUAUCCAUUAGCUUUCCUUGAUUAGACACUAACUCUCUCAAAGGUGGAAAAUUAUUAUUAUUGUAAGAAUUGUUACCUUGAUAAUUACCUGAGUAGUUAGGCCUCUGUUGAUUCCAACCUUGAUUUUGUUGAGGACGGUUGUAGUAGUAGUAGUUGUUGUUGAUGUAGUUCACAUCCUCAAGUAUCUCAGGGCAGUGGUUGCCUGAAUGUCCAGUGUCUCCACACUCCUCACAAGUCAUGUGAGAGUCGUAGAUGUGCAUAACUUCUUUCUUGUCUCCAGCUUUAUCAUCGACUUUCUUCAUGAGCAGGUCUAGCUUUGCAGACAGCAUGUCUACCUCCUUCAGCUGAUGCAUACGUCCACCUCUCUUGCGUGUCUGGGUCCUCUCUUCAUUCCAUCUUUGAUUGGACGCCAUCUUCUCCACAAGAGCUGUGGCUUGUGGUAUAGUAAGUGAUAAGAAUGCUCCUCCAGCUGCAGCAUCCAUGGUCUCUCGGGCACUGUUGCUGAGCCCAUGAUAGAAUGUCUGCAUCAAUAGCCAACUCUCCAUUCCAUGAUGGGGACAUUCUAGGAUGUAGUCUUGAAAGCGCUCCCAUGCUUCUGGAACAGAUUCAUCAUUUUGUUGCUGAAAACUUGUAAUCUUCCCACGGAGAGCAUUGGUCUUGCCCAUGGGAAAGAACUUUGCCAGGAAGUUUGUUGAGCAGAGUGCCCACGUAGUAUUCUUCUCCUUUGUAGCGUAGAACCACUGCUUCGCUCUUCCUAACAGUGAGAAUGGGAAGAGGCGAAGUAGUAUAGCGUCUUUGGAAACUCCUGCUAUGGUGAAUGUGUUGCAAAUCUCCAGGAAGUGUUGUAAAUGAGCACUAGCAUCUUCGUGUGCCUUCCCACAGAACUGGUUGGAUUGCACCAUGUUGAUAAGUCCAGGCUUGAGCUCAAAGUUGCCAUCGAUCUCUGCAGCAGGUCCAGUGCGGAUGUUGUCCGUAGUGGGAGCUGAGAACUCGCGGAUCGAUUUGUUCGCCAUGGCUUCGAACUCUGAAGACAAGUUCCGGUGAUCUUCUUGAUUGGAUGAAGCUUCUUCGUGAAGUGUUGAUGAUUUCUUUAGCUUGGCCCUCGUCUUCUUGAAUAAUGCUUCAGGAUUGUCAACAAAAUUUCCUGGAAGAUGUCUUCUAUUCAUACAUUCCCCUGCAUAAGAUAAAAUAGAAAAAUAUCGGGGUAAAACUGUAUGAGAGAAUAGAUAAGCUCAAUCAUAUUAGUGAUGCGAAUGAUAACUCAAAAUCUUUUAUUCCAUUCCUGAUUGGUAAUCAACCUUCCCCGGCAACGGCGCCAAAAAUGCUUGUUGGGUAUUCUUAACAUCAUUACCAAAAGUAGACUAAGUUCUAAAUCUAGCAACGGUGCCAAAAAUGCCAAACCUAUCCCUCACACCACUUAAGCCAAGUUGUCAUCCCCAGCAUGACAUGAGAGACGCGGUAUUGAAAUAUGCAAUUGCUCUUCUAAAUAAAUAAUGAAUGGGAUCUGCAAGCGCACAGAUUAAUACGGAUGUAGCAUUUUAACCGGGAAGUAUUCCAGGUAUCGUUAUUUGUAUUUUUACCACUGGGAAGGGAUUAACAAUCAUCACUAUUGAUUACAGAAUAGAAUAUGAGAUUGAGCAUCUAUCAUUGCAUGUAUAAUUGAGAACAUUAUAUCUAACUCUUCAUACAGGGAUAAGUGUCACAUAAUAGAUAUAUGAAAUGAUAAUAGUGACAAGGAUAACUAAUCUGAUCUAGCCACAUAAUAAAUAUGAUAAGCACCUCAAUUAGAUACUCUAGAAAGUCAUUAGCAUGGUAUUAGAACGAACUACAAGAAUAUUCCCUAAGUUAUUCUUAACUAUAUAGUCUAGCAUAUCAUAGUUAGUGCAAGCAUACUUAGCAAUCAUUGCGAGACAAGACUACGCCCAUGCAUAGUGAUACUAGCAAGGAAUAUGAGAAACAUAGCAAUCACUCCCCUGUAAUAAUGUUGCUCUGCCAGCCCAAUACACGAGAGGGGGACUAUAUAAGAAUCAAUGAAGCUGUCACUAUCACGAACUACCCCACGAUCUGGCAUAUUGGGUACAAUCGCAGAUAAAUACGGUAUAAGCACCACGCCUACACAAUAUCUAUCAUUUACCCAUGGAUCCGAUGGAUAAACGCUAUACGAUCCUAAGCAUGUAUAUAGAUCGUAUCUAACUAAGCCAAGUAUAUAACUAUGAUAAACUAAGAACAAUAUAAUCUUGAAUAUAAGCAAAUAGAGCAAAGUCAUAAGCAAUAUAUUGAAGUAGAACAAAGUCAUAUUCAUAAUAUUGAAGAACAAAGAUAAUUAGAAAGCAAUUAGAAACACAAUUAGAGAAUUACCAAGAAUCCUCCUGACAGAUCCGGAAACCAAUCGAAGAUUGACUCCUUCUAGUUCUAAUCCUAUGUAGCUAUGCUAAUCUAGAUAUCUAAUUGAUGUGGUGGCUCUAAUCUUGAUCAGAGGCUUCUUCUCCCUUGAUGGAACAAUGAAUAAGGGUUGAGAGGCUCUCUCCUCCAGGGGCCAGGGGGUUUGGUUUUAUAGUCCCUUCAAGUGAAUAUGGGCCCUUGGAUCAAACCGACAUAGAUUGUAUGGUUUAGAUUCAUCCUUUAGGUCGGUGGAGACUUCCUGCAAAGCAGAGUCCUGAUUGGACUUAGGGGCAGGGCGGGCGCCCAGUUGGACAGGGCGGGCGCCCUGUCUCUGGCCCCGAUUCGCCUCCGCUUCGGUCUCGUGGCUUCUGGAGUCUUCUAGAUGUAAGAUAAUUGCGCAGCACGUUAAUAUCUUUACGUAAUCCUGACAUGUGGGCCUUUCGUCCAUAUUUCCUGAUAACCCCCUGCAGAAAUAGACAAACACCAAAACUCGUGGAAUUCUGUCAGAUAAAACCCUAAGUCUAGAUCUUUAUUUCAUUUGGAUCCUUUUCUUUAUUUAUUUGAUAAUUAAAUUUGAUACUUAAGGACCGUCAACAAACUCCCCCAAGCUUACCUCUUGCUCGUCCCUGAGCAAGGAUAGACUCAGCUAUGGAUCAGAAGUUGCUGCAAUAUCUUUAAAAAUUUGACGGUACACAUGCUCUUAAAUAAGAUCUCAUCUCUGAGUUAGAGUAAACUGUCAAGACUUAAAACUUACUUACUUUACCUUCACUAUGGGACUUGUAACUGUCACUUCUGUCUUGAGUGGUUAAAAGAUAGAACAGUCUAGCCAAGUGCCAUGUCUCUUAUUCUUGAUCAGCUAUAGCUCUGGGAUUUUUGCAGAUUUUCAAAUAAAACUCAGAAUUCCUUGUAUGAUUCUCUCAGGUCUCUCUUUUGUGGUAUUUUUGGAUCCUUACCAAGGCAUUGAUGGUAUAUGCCUUCUCUCAAGAUAUGUGGUAUUUGUGGUAUGAGGCAUAGUAACAUUGCCUUCUCUCUCAUCCUACUCUAAUAAGGCUUUAAUAUCUGGAGCUCAUAGGUGGGAGAUAAAAUAUACAUACUUACAAGACAUGUAUUGCAUAGUCAAACCAUGGAUCCAAAGUAACAAGUCAAUAAGUUUAAUCAAGAUGUGCAUGUGUGGCGAUGAAUGGUAUAUGGAGAUGAUGGUGAUAACAAUGGUGAAAACAAUGGUGAAAACAAUGGUGGUGAAAGUCUAAUUCUACUUUGCUCUUCUGAGGGGAUACAUACCUUCCUUGCUUUUGAAACUUUAUGAGGAGAAUGAGAUGCUCUUCUUUUUCUUUUCUCUCAGGUGGGUAUCUUGCACCCCUAAUUCUACUGUCGAACACUUGUCCAUUUUUACCUCUCGUCUCACUUUUUCUUUUCUUUCGAGGUUCCGAGCACUUGCUCCUUUUUAUUUCCUCGUAUUAUUGUUCUCUCUCUCUUUUUUUUAGAGCACUCAUCUCUUGAGAUAAUAUAGCAAGUGGUAGUAACAAGAUAACUUGAGCAUUUAUUUCACAUGGGGAAAACAGAAAUAUUUUUGGUUAUUCUCUCCCGGAUUAGGAGUAGAAUAUUUUUAGGUGGUUCUGGAGAUGGAAAUGUGUGGAUGUAUGUGGAUGGUACUUCCGGAGUAGAAGUAGCAUAUAUGAGUGAACGUGCAAGUGAAAUCUUGAUUUAACCACAUGACAAGCUCCUAAGGGUCUACACAGCUUGACCAUACUCAAUGCUCAUAAGCAGUAAAUAGUAACUGUGUGGCUCAAAGUCUAGCAAGCAUGUAUAUAUGGCUGUGGUAGGAAUUUAAGCUCUCAUCAUACAGGAACUCAUCAUGCAACAUUUUAAAGAUUUUCAAAGAUAAAUUCUCCAGAAUUCUAGCAUCUCUAGGAACAGAUAAACAGCAGCUCAACCUUCCUAUAUCGUAUCCGUUAACAACUUAGACUUCAGAUCAAGUUUUCAUCCCACAAGUUUAGGUCUAGGGCAAGCUUUAAAUUAUAACAGUUAUGUCUAAACUUGAGAGAGAACUUAAAAUGUGCAAAUUAGGCAGAGCAACUAUUCAUCAUAUCCAUGCUUAAGUUUUACUAGAUACAGAUUAGCAUAGCCACUUUAUUUAUUUAUUUAACACACUAAGCAAAAGACAUAUAUAAGCAUAAAAUCUUUAUUUGGUUUUCCCAUAGUUUAUGUGUAUUAAUAUUCUAAAAUAAUAUAAGUAUAAAGAUAGAUAAAAAUACUUAUCGGAAUAAAUGGGGGUGCUCUCCCCCAAGCUGAAUUUUGACGUAAUUUCUCUCGAUGUAGCUAGCAGGUGGCAGAGGUGUAGUUGAAAGUCAGCAGCAUUCUGACAGCGAUUAGAAUGUCCUCCGUCUGCUAGUCUUCUUGAAUUCUGUGGAGCUCAAAUAGACAACAAAGCUUGUGGAACUGAUUAAGUGUUAGCAUAAAUAUAUAGCCUUCAUCAUCUUGAGACUCCUUAAUAAUUAUUAUUCCCUGUUUUUAUAUUUUUAUUUUAUAAAGCAGAAAAAUAUUUAUUUUAUUUUUAUGCCACCACAGUGAAUGUACGUAUGGGUUUUAUGCCACUCGUCUAUUCACAUGGGGCUUACUAUUUUUCACAUUUUUAUUUUCUUUUUAAGACAGUAUGAGCAUGUUUAACUAAGUAAACUAUUUAAAAUAACUGAAAGGGAAAGGGUAACUACCAAGUUUACCUCUUGGCAAGGCGUUCGGUGUUUUUAAGUCCUCCGAACGGGACUCUCCAAUUUCUUAAUCGUCCUGAGGUUCGUUGGGUGGCGUAGUCGGUACUUCCGGCAGCGCCUCCUCUUCUUGUAUAGUUAUCUUCAUUUUCCACACCUGACUCGGUGCUUCAAUCUCCUCUGGAUAAUUCUGUUUAAACUCUACGUCUUCUGACCUUACAACUUCUCCUUCAUAGUCUGCCCAUCCGUCCUUAAUGAUCUGCCUCCUCUGGUUGCGGUUGCGUCGUUUUCUUACCUGCUUAGAUUCUUCAAUGAUAUAGUUAGGGUCAGUAAAAUAACAGCGUACCUUCUCUGAGGGGAAGUGCAUAUGGACUUCUCCGGUUCCAAUGUAGAUAAUGGCUUUAACGGUGCUGAGGAACGGUCUUCCAAGGAUGAUGGGUGGAUCAUACUCGUCUUCUCCCAUGUCAACAACUUGAAAGUCUGUGUAGACAAAAUGAUCGUCUAUUUUGACUGGGACAUCAGAUACUAUUCCUUGAACUUCUCGAAAUGUCUGAUCUGCCAUCUGGAGCUAAAUGUAUGUUCAUCUUAGUGGCAUGGUCCCGAACAAAAGCCGAUAGGUGACUGCGGCCAUUAUGUUGACGCCCGAUCCGGUGUCACAAAUUGUCUUGUAGAAGUUGUAUCCAUUUAUGGAGCAGUAAAUGCUUGGCAUUCCUGGGUCGUCCUUCUUGGUCAAGCACGGUGACUUAAGUUGGUGAUCUUGGCCUCCAUGGACUACAGUGACCAUCUGAGCUGACUCGGUCCACACUUGCUUGUUCCUGUUCCUCCUGUUGGUCCUCUUCCUUGAUUGACGUCUGGAUUGAUUUGGAAUUUGUGUAGUCUUGUUUUUGAAGAAAAAUGUUUCCUUCUUCCCUUUGACAUAGAAACUGAUCUUAGCAGCACUGGCGUAGAUGAUAGCUCCCGUGGUGUUCAAAAAUGGCCUCCCUAGGAUGAUAGGUGCUCUCUCAUCAUUUCCGGUCUCUACCACUACGAAGUCUGCUGGUGCAUACAAGGUACCAACUCGGACACAAAGGUUCCUCACUAUUCCUUUUGGAAAAGUUAUCGUCUGAUCUGCAAACUGCAAACACAUGGUUGUCUCUAAUAAAGGAUAUGUAAAGAAUUUCUCAUAGAGUACCCUGGGUAUAAUGUUGACACUGGAGCCAAAGUCGCAGAGUGCUUCUGCGAAGUCCACCAUGCCGAUGGAGAUCGGGAUGACGGGGCGUCCUGGAUCGCCUCUCUUGACCGGCAGACGGUCAGUAGAAAAUUCAUUGACGGGGUUACUCCAAUUACCUGCAUCAAACAUGUCUACAAGAUUUGCAGAUGCUAAUCCUUCCGGUUGUGAUGGUAUACCGGGGUUAGUAGUAGGAACAGCAGCAGCUAUCUGAUUUAACUGAGAUUCAAUCAUUUUAUUAAAGCUAAUUUGAUUCUUGAUGGCAGUAGAAAAAUUAUCCAUUCUAUUAUUUAUAUUUUCUAGCAUUUUAUCAUUAGAUGCCAAUUUCUUAGAUAGGUUAUCCAUUAGCUUUCCUUGAUUAGACACUAACUCUCUCAAAGGUGGAAAAUUAUUAUUAUUGUAAGAAUUGUUACCUUGAUAAUUACCUGAGUAGUUAGGCCUCUGUUGAUUCCAACCUUGAUUUUGUUGAGGACGGUUGUAGUAGUAGUAGUUGUUGUUGAUGUAGUUCACAUCCUCAAGUAUCUUAGGGCAGUGGUUGCCUGAAUGUCCAGUGUCUCCACACUCCUCACAAGUCAUGUGAGAGUCGUAGAUGUGCAUAACUUCUUUCUUGUCUCCAGCUUUAUCAUCGACUUUCUUCAUGAGCAGGUCUAGCUUUGCAGACAGCAUGUCUACCUCCUUCAGCUGAUGCAUACGUCCACCUCUCUUGCGUGUCUGGGUCCUCUCUUCAUUCCAUCUUUGAUUGGACGCCAUCUUCUCCACAAGAGCUGUGGCUUGUGGUAUAGUAAGUGAUAAGAAUGCUCCUCCAGCUGCAGCAUCCAUGGUCUCUCGGGCACUGUUGCUGAGCCCAUGAUAGAAUGUCUGCAUCAAUAGCCAACUCUCCAUUCCAUGAUGGGGACAUUCUAGGAUGUAGUCUUGAAAGCGCUCCCAUGCUUCUGGAACAGAUUCAUCAUUUUGUUGCUGAAAACUUGUAAUCUUCCCACGGAGAGCAUUGGUCUUGCCCAUGGGAAAGAACUUUGCCAGGAAGUUUGUUGAGCAGAGUGCCCACGUAGUAUUCUUCUCCUUUGUAGCGUAGAACCACUGCUUCGCUCUUCCUAACAGUGAGAAUGGGAAGAGGCGAAGUAGUAUAGCGUCUUUGGAAACUCCUGCUAUGGUGAAUGUGUUGCAAAUCUCCAGGAAGUGUUGUAAAUGAGCACUAGCAUCUUCGUGUGCCUUUCCACAGAACUGGUUGGAUUGCACCAUGUUGAUAAGUCCAGGCUUGAUCUCAAAGUUGCCAUCGAUCUCUGCAGCAGGUCCAGUGCGGAUGUUGUCCGUAGUGGGAGCUGAGAACUCGCGGAUCGAUUUGUUCGCCAUGGCUUCGAACUCUUAAGACAAGUUCCGGUGAUCUUCUUGAUUGGAUGAAGCUUCUUCGUGAAGUGUUGAUGAUUUCUUUAGCUUGGCCCUCGUCUUCUUGAAUAAUGCUUCAGGAUUGUCAACAAAAUUUCCUGGAAGAUGUCUUCUAUUCAUACAUUCCCCUGCAUAAGAUAAAAUAGAAAAAUAUCGGGGUAAAACUGUAUGAGAGAAUAGAUAAGCUCAAUCAUAUUAGUGAUGCGAAUGAUAACUCAAAAUCUUUUAUUCCAUUCCUGAUUGGUAAUCAACCUUCCCUGGCAACGGCGCCAAAAAUGCUUGUUGGGUAUUCUUAACAUCAUUACCAAAAGUAGACUAAGUUCUAAAUCUAGCAACGGUGCCAAAAAUGCCAAACCUAUCCCUCACACCACUUAAGCCAAGUUGUCAUCCCCAGCAUGACAUGAGAGACGCGGUAUUGAAAUAUGCAAUUGCUCUUCUAAAUAAAUAAUGAAUGGGAUCUGCAAGCGCACAGAUUAAUACGGAUGUAGCAUUUUAACCGGGAAGUAUUCCAGGUAUCGUUAUUUAUAUUUUUACCACUGGGAAGGGAUUAAUCAAUCAUCACUAUUGAUUACAGAAUAGAAUAUGAGAUUGAGCAUCUAUCAUUGCAUGUAUAAUUGAGAACAUUAUAUCUAACUCUUCAUACAGGGAUAAGUGUCACAUAAUAGAUAUAUGAAAUGAUAAUAGUGACAAGGAUAACUAAUCUGAUCUAGCCACAUAAUAAAUAUGAUAAGCACCUCAAUUAGAUACUCUAGAAAGUCGUUGGCAUGGUAUUAGAACGAACUACAAGAAUAUUCCCUAAGUUAUUCUUAACUAUAUAGUCUAGCAUAUCAUAGUUAGUGCAAGCAUACUUAGCAAUCAUUGCGAGACAAGACUACGCCCAUGCAUAGUGAUAUUAGCAAGGAAUAUGAGAAACAUAGCAAUCACUCCCCUGUAAUAAUGUUGCUCUGCCAGCCCAAUACACGAGAGGGGGACUAUAUAAGAAUCAAUGAAGCUGUCACUAUCACGAACUACCCCACGAUCUGGCAUAUUGGGUACAAUCGCAGAUAAAUACGGUAUAAGCACCACGCCUACACAAUAUCUAUCAUUUACCCAUGGAUCCGAUGGAUAAACGCUAUACGAUCCUAAGCAUGUAUAUAGAUCGUAUCUAACUAAGCCAAGUACAUAACUAUGAUAAACUAAGAACAAUAUAAUCUUGAAUAUAAGCAAAUAGAGCAAAGUCAUAAGCAAUAUAUUGAAGUAGAACAAAGUCAUAUUCAUAAUAUUGAAGAACAAAGAUAAUUAGAAAGCAAUUAGAAACACAAUUAGAGAAUUACCAAGAAUCCUCCUGACAAAUCCGGAAACCAAUCGAAGAUUGACUCCUUCUAGUUCUAAUCCUAUGUAGCUAUGCUAAUCUAGAUAUCUAAUUGAUGUGGUGGCUCUAAUCUUGAUCAGAGGCUUCUUCUCCCUUGAUGGAACAAUGAAUUAGGGUUGAGAGGCUCUCUCCUCCAGGGGCCAGGGGGUCUGGUUUUAUAGUCCCUUCAAGUGAAUAUGGGCCCUUGGAUCAAACCGACAUAGAUUGUGUGGUUUAGAUUCAUCCUUUAGGUCGGUGGAGACUUCCCGUAAAGCAGAGUCCUGAUUGGACUUAGGGGCAGGGCGGGCGCCCAGUUGGACAGGGCGGGCGCCCUGUCUCUGGCCCCGAUUCGCCUCCGCUUCGGUCUCGUGGCUUCUGGAGUCUUCUAGAUGUAAGAUAAUUGCGCAGCACGUUAAUAUCUUUACGUAAUCCUGACAUGUGGGCCUUUCUUCCAUAUUUCCUGAUAACCCCCUGCAGAAAUAGACAAACACCAAAACUCGUGGAAUUCUGUCAGAUAAAACCCUAAGUCUAGAUCUUUAUUUCAUUUGGAUCCUUUUCUUUAUUUAUUUGAUAAUUAAAUUUGAUACUUAAGGACCGUCAACAGGCCACUUGUCUGAGGAUGAUAGGGGGUAGCGACGUUGUGACGGAUUCCAUGUUUUGAUAGAUAUUGCUUAAAGCGUUUGUCGAUGAAAUGUGCUCCUCCAUCACUUAUCACUACUCUGGGGACUCCAAAUCUUGGAAAUAUAAUUUCUUCAAACAUCCUCUUUGAACUGAUGUUGUCGGCAUGCUUGCAAGGUAAUGCCUCUACCUACUUGGAGACGUAGUCAACUGCCACCAAAAUGUACUCACACUUCUUUGAUGGAGGAAAUGGACCCAUAUAGUCUAUUCCCCAGACAUCAAAGAGCUCAAUCUGAAGGUUGUUGGUGAGUGGCUAGCAUCUCUUGUGUUUAUUUUUCUGUGCCUUUGACAUGGCCCACAUUUUCUGAUAUAUUGCUUCGUGUCUUCAUACAUUGUAGGCCAGUAGAAUCCACACUGCCAGAUCUUUCAAUGUGUACGAAAUGCUCUAUAAUGACCUCCAUAUGGUGAUGAAUGACAUCUGUCGAUAAUCUUCCAUCCUUCCUCAGUGGUCACACAUCUCCUGAGUAAGCUAUCAGAGCAUACUCGGAAGAGGUAUGGCUCAUCCCAUAUAUGUGAACGACUUUCUUGAAUAAGCUUCUUCUUGUUUGCUCCUGGCGGUACAUACCCUGAAACCAUAAAAUUAACAAUAUCUGCAUACCAGGGGUCAGACCUGUUAAUCCCGUAGAGCAUGUCGUCCCGGAGUGAAUCAUUGAUGGGGGAUUCCUGUGGAAUCUUAAAAUACAUUCUAGACAAGUGAUCUGCAACAGAAUUUUCUACUCCCUUUUUAUCUUAUAUUUCUAAGUCAAAUUCAUGGAGUAAUAAGAUUCAUCUAAUCAGGCGAGGUUUAGCAUCUUUUUUAGUGAGCAAAUAUUUUAGUGCAGCAUGAUCAGUGUAAACAAUUAUUUUAGCUCCAACUAAAUAAGAUCUAAAUUUAUCAAUGGCAAAGACAACAGCCAGAAGCUCUUUUUCAGUGGUUGCAUAGUUAAGUUGAGCUCCUGUCAAAGUUUUACUGGCAUAAGCAAUUGCAUGAUGCUUCCUAUAUUUAGUUUGUCCCAAUACUGCCCCCACAACAUAAUCACUAGCAUCACACAUAAUUUCAAAAGGCAACGACCAAUCAGGGGGUUGAAUGAUUGGUGUAGAGAUGAGUGCUUUCUUUAAUAAAUUGAAAGAUGUUAGACAUGCAUCAUCAAAUUCGAAAGGAGCAUCCUUGGCUAGCAAAAGAGUAAGUGGUCUAGCAAUGAAUGAAAAAUCUUUUAUGAAUCUACGAUAAAAACCAGCAUGGCCAAGAAAGCUUCGAAUUCCUUUUAUAUUCACAGGUGGAGGUAGUUGUUCAAUUACUUCAAUUUUAGCUUUGUCUACAUGAAUACCUCUUUCAGACACUAGGUGUCCCAGCACUAUUCCUUCUCUAACCAUAAAAUGACAUUUUUCCCAAUUAAGGACUAAGUGCUUUUCUUCACAUCUUUGCAAAACCUUGUCUAAGUUUUCAAGACAACUAUCAAAAGUUUUUCCAUAAACAGAGAAAUCAUCCAUGAAAACUUCCAUAAUCUCUUCAAUCAUAUCAGAAAAUAUAGACAUCAUGCAUCUUUGAAAAGAAGCUGGUGCAUUACAUAACCCAAAAGACAUUCUACGGUAAGCAUAAGUUCCAUAUGGGCAAGUAAAAGUGGUUUUGCUUUGAUCAUCGGGAUGGAUCGGGAUUUGAUGAUACCCUAAAUAUCCAUCAAAGAAACAGAAGAACGAAUGGUUCGCUAAUCGCUCUAGCAUCUCAUCUAUGAAACGUAAAGGAAAGUGAUCCUUUCUCGUGGCUUUGUUUAGUUUUCUAUAGUCUAUGCACAUCCGCCAUCCUGUGACGGUGCGUUGCGGAAUUAGCUCGUUCUUUUCAUUCAUAAUAACAGCCAUGCCUCCCUUUUUAGGCAUAACUUGAACUGGGCUCACUCACUCACUAUGCGGCAUAGGAUAUAUAAUCCCUACAUGCAGCAACUUUAUAAGUUCCUUUUUAACUACCUCUCUCAUAGUGUUGUUAAGUCUUCUUUGGGGUUCUCGAGAAGGUGAAACAGAAGGAUCUGUUGGAAUACGAUGGGUACAAAUCAUAGGACUGAUUCCUGUAAGAUCUUGGAGUGAGUAGCCGAAAACUGAGUGAUGUUUCUCAAGAAUGGUAAUUAAUCGCAGAGUUUGCUCCUGAGUGAGUUUAUCGCUAAUGAUCACAGGAAACUCUCGAUUAUUGUUUAGGAAAGCAUAGAUAAGACCGGGUGGUAAAGUUUUAAGCUCUAUGGGGGGUCUAGGUGUUUCUGCAAACUCAUCUAAGGGUUCAGGUUCAGAAGGUUCGGCUUCUUCUUCUAUGAAGAAAGGAGUUUUGUCUUCUAAGUCUGAUUCUUCUAAUAGCUCUAGAGAUGCAGCCUUUACCUCCUCCAUAGGAUCAGGUAAAAGAUAUGACUCGGCCUUAUUAUUCAAAGAGUGUGAAAUUGUUAUUGGGAUUUUAAAAGCUUUUCCAAAAGAAAUGUGUAGCUUUCCAGUAUGACCUUCAUAAAGGAGUCUUCUAAAAGGUUGUCCUAUCAACAGGUCGAAGUCCCAUGUAUCAAAGAUAUAGAAGUCCAAAUGAACCAUGGAGCCUUCUACUGUAAGAGGUAGGACAUUAAUAAUUCCAAGACUGGGGACUAAUCGUCCCGAAGAUUCCUUUAUGACCUUUGUUGUGGGGGUUAAGACAAGAUUUUUAAAUAGUUUAAGUGCAAAAGUGUAGCACCCGGUUUUAAGAACAAAACCAGAUACACACCAUAUGUGAGCCCAGGAAGUCAAAUCUCACAUAUAGCCACAAAUAGGGGUAAUAUCAAUAGACAAUGCUUAUAUAUAACGAACUUAGUAUAAAAGAUAUAACCUUAGAUAGCAAACAGCGGAAAGACACUCCGUUCUUCAGGCGAAAGCUCCAAAUCCACAGGGACAACUGACUGGUUGAGCACAAGCCUAAACUCUUUUCCAAGCUUGCAAUCUGGUACCCAUCCGGGAUUUUUAUCCAAAUAAAAUGUAAAGGCAAGCAUAAGUACAUCUCGUACUCAGCAAGAAUAACAUAGGGUUCAUGAGGCUCAAAGGCUAGACAAUGGUUUAACUGCAUGUAGCUUUUAGUUGUCACAAUUUUAGCAUAUGAGUAGCAUCAAGUUGUCAAGUCCCAUAGUAAACUUAUGAUCAGGUAAAGUGAAUAAAGAAUAGCAUAAACAACAUUUUAACAAUAAUAACAUUUAAUGAAUUGCCAUUAGUGUUCAUUUAUUCUGUAUUGGUCUAAGGCCGCUCGUGACCGUGAGCACGGCUGAUAUAUCAGUUUUACACUCUGCAGAGGUUGUACACUUUCACUGUGAGUCGUGAUUUACCCUUUCGCCCGAGGUGAUCAGCCCCUUAGCCUACUCCCUAGGAAGACCGGCAGGGUUCACUAUGAAGCCUUUCAAAGGUUCGUCUAACAAGUUAGGGCCGCUAGGUUUUGUUAGUCAGUCCGUGACUCACCCGCAGGAAUCCACGGUCUGCUAUCCCCCACUUGCGCCACAAGGAUAACCACUAACAAGCUAGAAAAGGUCCUCAUACUGAGCUAAAGCCAGAGCCAUGUAGCCCUCACAGUUGUACUAUAUGUCCCGGAUGGUCAGAUACAGAUAAGUCCUUAUGGAGAGAAACUAGAGCACCAUAAGAUAGCCCAAUGCUCCAGCCCUCUUUUUCCAACGUUGCUAAAAAGUCAUCUUUUAAUGUUUAUUGCAUAAUCCUUUAGUCAAAUUACAAGAUCAUGGUUUAGUGGAGCACUAGCAUAAGCUACCCAAUGCAUAACCAUAGGUGACAAGGUAUGAGAUCAAUACUAGGAAAUCCUUAUCAAGGAGACACAUGCAAUAUGAAUUGUGUGAUUAAAGUUAUUAGGAAACAAGGAUGAUCCCAUGCUAUACUUGCCUUGAAACUCAGAUCUUCUUUUAGUUCCAAAUUUUCCACAAUCUGCUUCUUGAUCACCACGUAAAAGCUCACCGACUAAACUCAGUCAUCACAUCAACAACAAUCAUCCAGAGGCAAUCAUACAAAGCAAAACAAACCUAUAAUUAGAACAAUACACCAACAGUAGCCAAUAAAGGUAAAAAAUUUAUAAAACAAAUCUACAUCGCACUACGAUCACAUAGACGUGAAGAUCACAAAAAUCGGAGCUAUAACGAAGAAGUUAUGAUUUUCCUAAGAUUUCCUUUAAUAAAUUAAUUAAAUAGGAUCAUGAAAAUAAAAGGUUGUAAACUUGUAAAACAGUAGCACUAAUAUAUAGAUUACGCGAAAACGAAUCUAACACAACUUGAACGGAUCAAAACGGAGUUUAAACGAAGAAUAUAUGAAUUUUCUAAGAUUUUCUUUAGAAAAACAAUUAAUUAAUUUGGUUCAGGGAAUUAAAAAGUUUCAAACUAAGAAAACAGUGUUACUAACAUGUAGAUCUUUUGAAUACAAAACCAACGCAAUUUGAACGAGUCAAAACGGAAUUAAGAUGAAUAUUUUAUGAGCAAUAUAAAACCAGUGGCAAUUUGGUAAUUUGCUGAAAACGUAUUUUGAAUCUGAGUACUGAGUUUACGUCUUCAAAGUCGGAAAGCGUAUUUGUGAAAUUACGUUUUGGACUGCGGGUUAGAUCUUUAAAAACCAGGGGGGCUCUUUUGCAAAAAUCGCGGCCGAAGGGGUAUCCUUCGAUCUCGGCCGUUGGAUAUCAAUUCGAUGGUCAAGAUUAGAUCGCAGGGGGUUACUGAGUUGGCCGGCCGGAGUUGGACGGCCGCGGCGGCUCCAUGGCCGACCUUGGCCGGAGUUGGCCAAUCUGGCGACCCCGAGCGGUAGAACGCGAGCUAAACACAUGGGAUCGCUCAGGAGCUCGGUGCGAACUCACCUGGGGCAAAAACCACGACGAAGAGAGGCCAGCUAGGGCUCACGACGACGAACGGCGGACGGCGGCUCUGCAAAGACGUUCGGCGAAGGUUAGGCACCCGUUGGAAGCAAAAGAACGCGAACGAAACGACUCGGCGACUUCGCAAGAACGAGGAGAAGGUCGGCAAGUCGCUCACGGUGGCCAAGACGCGACACAGCGGCGAAUUGCUUUCGGCGUGGAUCGCGGCGGCGAGAAUCGGCGGAAACUGCACGGCGGCUGGUGCUCGGGUUGAGAUAGGGGUUGCGGGGCAGCGGGGCGGGUAUAUAAAGGGGAGAAGACGCGCGGGGAAAGGACUGCUCGCGCGAAUCGUGCGCGAUUGUUGCGGCUCGGGCUCGUGUCCUGCUCGGACACGAGGUAGGGGACGGCUCCGACAGCUGGGCCCCACCUGGCAGUGACACGAGGCGUGGGCCAGCUCUGUCAGCGACCGCAGCGGAGAGGAGGGCGCGCGGCUCGCUGGGCUGCACUGAGCGGGCCGGAAGCUGGCGUUGGGCCGCUGCGAGAAAGAAAGGGGGAAGGGGAAGGAAGACAGGCCGGGCCGAAGGAAAACAGGGGGGAGUGGGAUGUGGGCCUCCGGCCAAAACCAGUGGGUCUUCUCUUUUUAUUUUCUGUUUCUCUUUUCUUUUAAUAAAACAAACCUAUUUCAAAACAUUUUCAAAACCAAAUUUGAAUUUCUUUUCAAUCUUUCAGCCAAAACUACUCAUCACAAUAAAUCAAUGCAAAGGCAUGCUCAAACAAGUUGCUAGCUCCUUUGAUAAAUUUUAAUUUAAAGAAAAAUAUUAUUUUUCCUAUAUUUCAUGGGCACAAAAAUACACAAGUUAUCAAUUUAUCCUAUUUUGGAAAAUUGCAAAUUUUGGGGUGUUACAAUUCUACCCCCCUUAAAAUGAAUCUCGUCCUCGAGAUUCGGUUGGUGCUUUCUCAAACCACUGCGGGUAUGUUUUUCUUAGAUCCUCUUGUCUUUUACAAAUAGCCUCCUCUUCGGUGCACUGAUUCCACUGGACUUUGUACAUCCUAACAAUCCAACUCCUGGUCACCUUUUCUGUUGUUUCUAAAAUUCUCACCAGGUACUCUUGUAUGUGAAAUCUGAUUUAACAGUCAGUUCUUCUAACGACAUCUGCACUUAUGACACGCGCAAGUAUUUUUUUUAAGUUGAGACACAUGGUAGACAUCAUACACUCCUUCUAAACUUUCAAGUAGCUCUAUUUGGUAAGUCACUUUGUUUCCAUAUUUCUAACAUCUUGAAAGGCCCGACAUACCUUGGUACUAACUUUCCUUUGAUAUUAAACCUCCACACACCUCUCUUAGGUGGCACCUUCAAACACACGUAGUUUCGCACUUCAGAUCUAAUUAUCUUCUUAGAUGUCAAGAUAACUCUUAUGUCGAGUCUGUGCCAUUAUCUUUGAUCACUCUCACUUGCUGUUCUGCAUCACUUAGAACUUCUAGCCCAACACUUGUGUUCUCCUGUUUGAUUUCAAAUCAACAGGGUUCUACACUUACAUCCAUACCAGCUUUCAAAAGGCUCCCACUGAAGGCUCUUCUACUAACUGUUGUUCUAAGAAAACUUCGCAUACGAUGACCUCUUUGUACCAUACUGCAAUACACCAGCUCACAACAUAUCUCCUAAGUGAUCUUUUCAAUUCCUGUGGUUCCCAAAAAGAGUAUUAGUAGAGCUCAUUUGGCAGUACUAGUGACAUCACCCAGUUCAACACUCAACCCUUCAAAUUUCAGUGUCAUUUGAACUCCUCUAGCACACUCUUUAUGCUCUGAGCAUUCACAAAGGCUUUUUCUCCUUCAAGUGAUAGCAUUUUUUUUCCCCAGUCAUAACUCUUGAUUCACUCAAAUCCAUCAAUGAUGUGACCAGCUCAAAUCCAAUUUCCUAAAGAUGCCCUUUAGAUACUUACAUUCUACGCAGAUAUCACUCCUACAUUCAAGAGGAUAGUAUCUCCAUGAUCCACUAUGGGUACCUCCACAUUACAUGUCAGUUAAUCCAACCCACUUAGUUGACUUACGCAUAAGCCACUGCUUUUCUCGUAUAGAGCACAUCCAAAGUCUGGAUGGGAUAUAUAAGCACUCUUACAUCAAUCUUUAUGACACCUUUGAUAAACCACUUAUAGAAUUCUUGUUAUUCCAAAUCAAUCUCUUAGUCACUCUUAUGGCCAGAUCACAUUGGCUCCAGCAAACCUAUGAUAACCUCUUGCCAUAUCUAUAAUACUCUAAGUCUCAUUCACUUUCCUUUGGUGGUUUCCAACUCUUGUAUCUUUAACUUCCUUAAGUCCAUCCUUAAAGAUGACGUCUCCUAGAUGAGAACUUCCAUCAACUAGAACAUACUGGUCAUGCUCCAUUUAGUAAUGAAGUCUUUUGAGUCUCCGUUGAAUCAAUAGUAGAUGUAGCGUAUCCACUUCCUAAGCUGUCAAGUGACCAAUUUCACAAUCUUGAGUCAUGAUAGACGAUUAUCAUCAUGGGAUAUCUCCGGAGACAACUUCUCACUUCAUGGUGAAUUGGAAAGGGCAUUGACCUAUCAUAUCAAGGUACUACCCCCUUAAAAUGAGAUAGGUCGGGGGACAGUUUGGACUAGCUCUCACAUUCCGUCUUAGAUGCUACACAUCACAUAGUCUUUUAAAUUCACUGUACCAAGUCUCCUGAUCUGGAGUUGGUUUCAUCACUACGUUCCAACUAUUGGUACCUCUAUCAGAGUUGAAUUGCUUUGCUCUCACAUCCCAUGUAUAACUUUGUAGACUUUGGUGUCACCUGAUUCUCAUAAGCACCACUUAAGCUAUGAGUACCAGCGAUGACCUAUAUCUCCAUCCAUAUUAGCACACUUCAAUGGAACUAUUUCUUGCAUCAAAAACCAAAUUUACCAAACACUUGAGGUCCUUAUCGAUGAUCCAACAUUAACCAAUACUUCUCCUCGUAAAUCCUUUGAUAAGACUACCCCCCUUAAAAAAGGUAACUAGGGGGUUUAAAUGGGUAGUCUAGUCUACCUCUCAAGUGUGUUUCUUAUAAUAAGAUCUUCGAAUACCGAAGAGAAACUCAUGUGCACUGAUAUGUACAAGAACUCUGAAAUUCCUCAUAACACGAGAAACACCAACGCAGUAAAAUAGACAUAACUCCUUUCCUGUUAAUCCAAUAAGGUCUUAGCUUAUACCGUUAGAUACCUUAUCAAAAUCCCUACCACUUUCAUAUAGAACGCUUUCCUUAGUUUCUGUCUUUAAACCUAGGUAAAACAGCAAUACAUGAUAUCCAUCUCGACAACGUCUCAGCACCGAUGCAACAACUUGAAGAACUCAUAUCUCGAGUUACUUAGAUCAUAUGGGGACGAGUCUUACAUGGUUGAAAAGCUUAUGAAGUCCUCCACAACCUGAUGUUAAGUUGGCUGAAAAUAGGAACUAACUAGAACUGUCCAGAUUUUGAACUGUGCAGCAACAGCAACUUGUAGAGGUCAUAACCCAGGUUCCAUUUAUCCGAUAAAGUUGCAGCUUGCAUCGUUGGAAAGCUUAUCAAAAGACCUAAAACCUUAUUGUAGAACCUUUUCCCAAAUUCCAGAGUUACAUUUGUCCAAAACAGUCGGCAACUGAGACUGGUCCUGAUUCCUGACAGCUCAACUGUACCAUCUUGUGAUUUUCAUGAUUCCCAAACCACAACAGCUAUGGGAGUGAUUCUUGCUGUCAGAGAAGGAUCUUGAAGUCUACUACUACCCAGAAUUUUCACAUGAUUUUAUGGUCCUCCGAGAAUAGGGAUUUGAACUGAAGAAGAUAAGUUGCUCCCAAAAGACAAGGACAAAGAAACAAGAGAGACUAGAACCCAACUAUUUAUUUCAUUAAUCCUUAUAUCUUAGACCUAUAAACUAAAUGAAAGUGUGGAGAAACCCACAAGAUCAUUGCACUCAUUACAAAAAUCCAACUCAAACAUAAGCACUUAAGACAAACCAACCAAACAUUGAAGGUUCACGAAGCACACACAUAUACUAGACUCGACUUUUGCCACUAACGUUUAUUACAAAGGGGGACUUCCUACUUCUUAAACGCGGUGUGACUGCAGCGGCAUCCAGGGUAGCAUCUCUUGCGUGGAGUUAAGCGAGGUAUGUCCUCCACCUCAUUGAUCGUAGGUAAUCCACCACGACUUCUCCACUAAUCAAUCUCAUCAAGGGCUUCCUCAUAGUGUUGCCUUACUUCUGCCAAUUCCAGUUGACUGUCUUCCAACUUUUGAUGCAUGACUUGGAUAGUCACAGCCAUCUCCUUUAGUUGUUCAUUCUUCUCCAAGUAGGGGUCAGCCAUCACACAUUGCAAAGUGCCUGGUGGACGACGAGGAAGAUACUUUUGUUUGUCAUUCUUCCUCUCUUCGUAGUGCUUUCCAUGAUAUGCCAGAAGAGCUUGAUGGGCAGCAUCAGAUAUGCUAGCAUGCUUACUGAAACGGUCACUGAGAGACGAAUGAAUGGAUUCCACCACGCGUGAACCAGUAAACUCAUUCCAUCUUGUGAUGUGUGCUUCUGUGCUCUAGUGGCUCUCAUACUUAGGAUGAGUCCACUUAGUGCACUUAUAUUCCACCUUGGCUUGCUGUUCAGGAUAGUGGUCUUGUAGUAUACGCAAAAGCCGAGGGUGAAAGAAAUCUUCCCCACUAAAGGAUGUGGUAAAGUACUCCUUUCACCAACAAAUAUGUCUUGAUGGGACAGGGCAAGCUUCUUCAUACUCUGGUUCUGUUAAGCCAUAGAUACCCCGAGUUAAGCAUGGUCUUCCAGAGUUGUUGCGAGCAAUCUUUUCGUUACGAACCAUCUAUGGAAUUAGAACGAGAGGAAUUUAGAUUAGAAGCAAUAAUUUUACAACAGAAUUAGAUGGUAGGAGCAUAAGAAUUUUAGCAAAUAGCAAGGGUGAGAUAGUAAGCAUGAAUGUAGUGAAGCAAAGAUGACUAAAAUGACCAUUACUAACUAGGCUUGCGUCCUACUGUCAGCAUUGCUCUGAUACCACUUUGUAGCACCCGGUUUUAAGAACAAAACCAGAUACACACCAUAUGUGAGCCCAGGAAGUCAAAUCUCACAUAUAGCCACAAAUAGGGGUAAUAUCAAUAGACAAUGCUUAUAUAUAACGAACUUAGUAUAAAAGAUAUAACCUUAGAUAGCAAACAGCGGAAAGACACUCCGUUCUUCAGGCGAAAGCUCCAAAUCCACAGGGACAACUGACUGGUUGAGCACAAGCCUAAACUCUUUUCCAAGCUUGCAAUCUGGUACCCAUCCGGGAUUUUUAUCCAAAUAAAAUGUAAAGGCAAGCGUAAGUACAUCUCGUACUCAGCAAAAAUAACAUAGGGUUCAUGAGGCUCAAAGGCUAGACAAUGGUUUAACUGCAUGUAGCUUUUAGUUGUCACAAUUUUAGCAUAUGAGUAGCAUCAAGUUGUCAAGUCCCAUAGUAAACUCAUGAUCAGGUAAAGUGAAUAAAGAAUAGCAUAAACAACAUUUUAACAAUAAUAACAUUUAAUGAAUUGCCAUUAGUGUUCAUUUAUUCUGUAUUGGUCCAAGGCCGCUCGUGACCGUGAGCACGGCUCAUAUAUCAUUUUUACACUCUGCAGAGGUUGUACACUUUCACUGUGAGUCGUGAUUUACCCUUUCGCCCGAGGUGAUCAGCCCCUUAGCCCACUCCCUAGGAAGACCGGCAGGGUUCACUAUGAAGCCUUUCAAAGAUUCGUCUAACAAGUUAGGGCCGCUAGGUUUUGUUAGUCAGUCCGUGACUCACCCGCAAGAAUCCACGGUCUGCUAUCCCCCACUUGCGCGACAAGGGUAACCACUAACAAGCUAGAAAAGGUCCUCAUACUGAGCUAAAGCCAGAGCCAUGUAGCCCUCAUAGUUGUACUAUAUGUCCCGGAUGGUCAGAUACAGAUAAGUCCUUAUGGAGAGAAACUAGAGCACCAUAAGAUAGCCCAAUGCUCCAGCCCUCUUUUUCCAACGUUGCUAAAAAGUCAUCUUUUAAUGUUUAUUGCAUAAUCCUUUAGUCAAAUUACAAGAUCAUGGUUUAGUGGAGCACUAGCAUAAGCUACCCAAUGCAUAACCAUAGGUGACAAGGUAUGAGAUCAAUACUAGGAAAUCCUUAUCAAGGAGACACAUGCAAUAUGAAUUGUGUGAUUAAAGUUAUUAGGAAACAAGGAUGAUCCCAUGCUAUACUUGCCUUGAAACUCAGAUCUUCUUUUAGUUCCAAAUCUUCCACAAUCUGCUUCUUGAUCACCACGUAAAAGCUCACCGACUAAACUCAGUCAUCACAUCAACAACAAUCAUCGAGAGGCAAUCAUACAAAGCAAAACAAACCUAUAAUUAGAACAAUACACCAAAAGUAGCCAAUAAAGGUAAAAAUUUUAUAAAACAAAUCUACAUCGCACUACGAUCACAUAGACGUAAAGAUCACAAAAAUCGGAGCUAUAACGAAGAAGUUAUGAUUUUCCUAAGAUUUCCUUUAAUAAAUUAAUUAAAUAGGAUCAUGAAAAUAAAAUGUUGUAAACUUGUAAAACAGUAGCACUAAUCUAUAGAUUACGCGAAAACGAAUCUAACUCAACUUGAACGGAUCAAAACGGAGUUUAAACGAAGAAUAUAUGAAUUUUCUAAUAUUUUCUUUAGAAAAACAAUUAAUUAAUUUGGUUCAUGGAAUUAAAAAGUUUCAAACUAAGAAAACAGUGUUACUAACAUGUAGAUCCUUUGAAUACAAAACCAACGCAAUUUGAACGAGUCUAAACGGAAUUAAGAUGAAUAUUUUAUGAGCAAUAUAAAACCAGUGGCAAUUUGGUAAUUUGCUGAAAACGUAUUUUGAAUCUGAGUACUGAGUUUACGUCUUCAAAGUCGGAAAGCGUAUUUUUGAAAUUACGUUUUGGACUGCGGGUUAGAUCUAUAAAAACGAGGGGGGCUCUUUUGCAAAAAUCGCGGCCGAAGGGGUAUCCUUCGAUCUCGGCCGUUGGAUCUCAAUUCGAUGGUCAAGAUUAGAUCGCAGGGGGGGUACUGAGUUGGCCGGCCGGAGUUGGACGGCCGCGGCGGCUCCAUGGCCGACCUUGGCUGGAGUUGGCCAAUCUGGCGACCCCGAGCGGUAGAACGCGAGCUAAACACAUGGGAUCGCUCAGGAGCUCGGUGCGAACUCACCUGGGGCAAAAACCGCGUGAAGAGAGGCCAGCUAGGGCUUGCGACUGUUGACACUUGCUAACACCACUUGAAUACUAGGUUGUCAUCCCCAGCAUGGCACUAGAGUGUACUAUGGUAUUUAUACGCACACAGAUAAUCCGCAAGUGCACGGAUACCGUUGAAGCUUUUAACCGGUUAAAGGUUUUAUCGUAUCCACAGGGAAACGGGAGAACUGAUCUACGCUCUAACUUAACCUAGAUAGAUAGAUAGGUGUAAAUAGGAAAGAUGGUAGAAUUGAAUAGGAACAAUAUUAAAGGUAAGAUAACAGUGAGUGAUAAUAUGGGAAUAGAGAGUAGAGCAAUCUAGUAUAUGGGCGAUGGUAGCAGAAUAGAGAGCAUAACUAUGGUUUCUCUACUUCAAAGGGGUAUGUCUAUGUCUGGGACGAACCACGUGAUAAGAUUACACCACAAAGGAUGCUUAUCCAUAGGCCGAUAAACCCUACCCGUCCUGCUAACGAGAGGUGGACUACAAAGGACCAACGUAACUAUCACCUACGCGGCCUACCACACGAUCCAGCUAGACAGGGGAUAUCCACAAGUAAUCUAGGUCUAAGGACCACGCUUACACCUAUACUACAACUCUAACCUAUAGCGUCCUAUAGAUUAGAAGUACUCAAAAGAGUUGUGAACCAGAACAUACAUAAUUAGUAAUUGCAUAAUGAAUUAGAAGUAGAUUACCAGAGUCAUCCCAUGAGCAAGCUUGAUUAGAGCUUGAUCAUGACGAAGUACAACCGGAGGAAGAACCGACAGGCCGGCCUCUCCUCUAAUCCUCCUUCGCUCUCCAUCUCGCUACUAUCUAGAUCUACUCUAGUUUAGAGAAGAGAGGAGAGCUCUCAUCUCUAAACCCUAGCUUUUGCUCUGUCUAUGAAUAAUGAAUAAUGAUCAAGGGGUGCCUCCUCCAGGGGCCAGGGGGUCUGGUUAUAUAGUCCCCUCAAGUGAACCUAGGCCGUUGGAUCAAAACCGACAUUGAUUGAACGGUUAUUCUUGAUCCUUUAGGUCGGUGGAGAUCUCCCGAGAGAAAUAGUCCCGAUUGGGCUCCAGAGGUGUGCGGGCGCCCAGGGCAGGAGGGCGGGCGCCCUGCCUCUGGCCCCGUUCGGUCUCCGCUUGCUUCUCGUGGCUUCUGGAGUCUUCUAGAUGUAAGAUAAUUGUGCGGCACGUUAAUAUCUCUAUGUAAUCCCGACGUGUGGGCCUUUCUUCCGUAUUUCCUGAUAACCCCCUGCAGAAAUAGACAAACACCAAAACUCGUGGAAUUCUGUCAGAUAAAACCCUAAGUCUAGAUGUUGAUUUCAUUUGGAUUCUUUUCUUUGUUUAUUUCAUAAUUAAAUUUGAUACUUAAGGACCGUCAACAAACUCCCCCAAGCUUACGUCUUGCUCGUCCCUGAGCAAGGAUAGACUCAGCAAUGGAUUAGAAGUUGUUGCAAUAUCUUAAAAAUUUGACGGUACACAUGCUUUUAAAUAAGAUCUCAUCUCUGAGUUAGAGUAAACUGUCAAGAACUAAAACUUACUUACUUUACCUUUCACCAUGGGACUUGUAACCGUCACUUCCAUCUUGAGCAGUUAAAAGAUAGAACAGUCUAGUCAAGUGUCAUGUCUCUUAUUCUUGAUCAGCUAUAACUCUGGAGUUUUUUGCAGAUUUUCAAAUAAAACUCAGAGAUUCCUUGUAUGACUCUCUCAUAUCUCUCUUUUGUGGUAUUUCUGGAUCCUUACCAAGGCAGUGAUGGUAUAUGCCUUCUCUCAAUAUAUGUAGUAUUUGUGGUAUGAAGUAUAGUGACAUUGUCUUCUCUCUCACCCUACUCUAAUAAGGCUUUAAUAUCUGGAGCUCAUAGGUGGGAGAUAAAAUAUACAUACUUACAAGACAUUUAUUGUAUAGUCAAACCAUGGAUCCAAAGAAACAAAUCAAUAAGCCAAAUCAAGAUGUGCAUGUGUGGCGAAUGAAUGGUGUAUGGUGAUGAUGGUGAUAACAAUGGUGAAAGUCUAAUUCUACUUUUGCUCUUUCGAGGGGAUACAUACCUUCCUUGCUUUUUGAAACUUUAUGAGGAGAAUGAGAUGCUCUUCUUUUUCUUUCCUCUCAGGUGGGUAUCUUGUACCCCUAAUUCUAUUGUCGGACACUUGUCCAUUUUUACCUCUCGUCUCACUUUUUCUUUCUUUCGAGGUUCCGGGCACUUGCCCCUUUUUAUUUCCUCGUUUAUAUAUUUAUUUAUUUUUUCUUCUCUUUUCUUUUUUUUCAGAGCACUCAUAUCUUGAGAUAAUAUAGCGAGUGGUAGUAGCAAGAUAACUUGAGCAUUUAUUUCACAAGGGAAAACAGAAAUAUUUUUGGCUAUUCUCUCCCGGAUUAGGAGUAGAAUAUUUUUGGGUGGUUCUGGAGAUGGAUGUGGAUGGUACUUCCAGAGUAAAAGUAGCAUAUAGGAGUGAACGUGCAAGUGAAUCUUGAUUUAACCACAUGACAAGCUCCUAAGGGUCUACACAGCUUGACCACACUCAAUGCUCAUAAGCAGUAAAUAAUAAAUGUGUGGCUCAAAGUCUAGCAAGCAUGUAUAUAUGGCUGUGGUAGGAAUUUAAACUCUCAUCAUACAGGAACUUAUCAUGCAAUAUUUUAAAGAUUUUUCAAAGAUAAAAUUCUCCAGAAUUCUAGCAUCUCUAGGAACAGAUAAACAGCAGCUCAACCUUCCCAUAUCAUAUCCGUUAACAACUUAGAUUUCAGAUCAAGUUUUCAUCCCACAAGUUUAGAUCUAGAGCAAGCUUUAAAUUAUAACAGUUAUGUCUAAACUUGAGAGAGAACUUCAAAUUUGCAAAUUAGGCAGAGCAACUAUUCAUUAUAUCCAUGCUAGAGUUUUAUUAUUAAGAUUCAGAUUAGCGUAGCCACUUUAUUUAUUUAUUAAACACACUAAGCAAAAGAUAUAUAUAUAUAUAUAAGCACAAAAUCUGUAUUUGGUUUUUCAUAGUUUAUGUAUUUUAAUAUUCUAACAUAAUAUAAGUAUAAAGAUAGGUAGAAAUACUUAGCGAGAUAAAUGGGGGUGCUCUCCCCCAAGCUGAAUUUUGACGUAAUUUCUCUUGAUGUAGCUAGCAGCUGGCAGAGGUGUAUUUGAAAGUCAGCAGCAUUCUGACAGCGAUUAGAAUGUCCUCUGUCUGCUAGUCUUUUUUAUUCUUAAAUUCUAUGGAGCUCAAAUAGACAACAAAGCUUGUAGAACUAAUUAAGUGUUAGCAUAAAUAUCUAGCCUUCAUCAUGUUGAGCUUCCUCAAUAAAUAUUACUCCUUGUUUUUAUAUUUUUAUUUUAUAAAGCAGAAAAGAAAUAUUUAUUUUAUUUUUACGCCACCACAGUGAAGGUACUUAUGGGUUUUAUGCCACUCGUAUACUCACAUGGGUCUUAGUAUUUUUUAACAUUUUUAUUUUCUUUUCUUUUCAAGAUAGCAUGAUUAACUGAUAAUCUAUUUAAGGAAAGUAAAUAAUUAAAGGGAAAAGGGAAUGCAGAAAGGAUAAAUAUAGAUAACUACCGAUAUUACCUUUCGGCGAGGGUUCAAUGUUUUAAGUCUUCUUAACAAGACUUCUCACCGUGUUCAUUCUUCAGGUGCGUCAUUUGAUUCAGGUGCGGACCUUGACGUCUGCACCUCUUCGUUUGCCCUGCAGUUCGAAGUGUGGCGUUGGAAGUAUCUUGCUCAGUGUGUUUGUGCUCGUAGAUCCAGGUCCUUGCUUGAAGAGUGAUGGUACAGUAUCACCUUGUGGAAGCUUUCCUUUCUUAGCGGUUGUGCAUCGUGUUUGUGGCACCCACCAUGGAUCAUCUCUCUAUGAUGAAUGAGCUAUGUCCUUCUUGUGCAAAUUGUUAAACUUCAUGUGUCACUCUCUUCGUCUCUGAUGUGAGUUUAUCUCAGGACUUCCCAAAUCGAUAUUGAAAGUUUUUCUACAGGGGUUAGUCCGAUAAAAAUAUACCAAUGUCUACACAAGCAGUUUUUAGUUCAAUAACCGAACUAGACUCCAUGUCUAAUCAGAUUAAGGAAGGUUGUUUAACCUAAGCACCACGCUUAAUUUAAAAGCCAAUAGAAGUAUGUGUGGUACUUCCAAACUAACACUUGCUAGUAAAUAGACAAAGGUAACAUGACAGCAUUUAUAGAGAUCUACUCAAGUGGAGAUGAAGUAGUGUGCUCAGUAUUUAACAAAUUGAGCAUGUCUUAAAGGUAGGGACAACCAACAUAGCAACAUGGCAAAGGAUGUUUUUAUGUAAAGUACUGCCCCAAGUUUGAAUUUUGCAGAAUUCAAGUUUGGAUGAAUUUAAUUCAGUGUUGCAUGAUGAUUGUUGACGGUCCUUAAGUAUCAAAUUUAAUUAUCAAAUAAACAAAGAAAAGGAUCCAAACGAAAUCAACAUCUAGACUUAGGGUUUUAUCUAACAGAAUUCCACGAGUUUUGGUGUUUGUCUAUUUUUGCAGGGGGUUAUCAGGAAAUACGGAAGAAAGGCCCACACGUCGGGAUUACAUAGAGAUAUUAACGUACCGCGCAAUUAUCUUACAUCUAGAAGACUCCAGAAGCCACGGGAAGGAAGCGGAGGCCGAACGGGCCCAGAGGCAGGGCGCCCGCCCUCCUGCCCUGGGCGCCCGCCCACCUCUGGAGCCCAAUCGGGACUCUUUCUCUCAGGAGAGCUCCACCGACCUAAAGGAUCAAGAAUAACCGUUCAAUCAAUGUCGGUUUGAUCCGACGGCCCAGGUUCACUUGAGGGGACUAUAAAACCAGACCCCCUGGCCCCUGGAGGAGGCACCCCUUGAUCAUUAAUCAUUAUUCAUAGACAGAGCAAAAGAUAGGGUUUAGAGAUGAGAGCUCUCCUCUCUUCUCUAAACUAGAGUAGAUCUAGAUAGUAGCAAGAUGGAGAGCGAAGGAGGAUUAGAGGAGAGGCCGGCCUGUCGGUUCUUCCUCCGGUUGUACUUCAUCAUGAUCAAGCUCUAAUCAAGCUUGCUCAUGGGAUGACUCUGGUAAUCUACUUCUAAUUCAUUAUGCAAUUACUAAUUAUGUAUGUUCUGGUUCACAACUCUUUUGAGUAUUCUAAUCUAUAGGACGCUAUAGGUUAGAGUUGUAGUAUAGGUGUAAGCGUGGUGCUUAGACCUAGAUUACUUGUGGAUAACCCCUGUCUAGCUGGAUCGUGUGGUAGGCCGCGUAGGUGACAGUUACGUUGGUCCUCUGUAGUCCACCUCUCGUUAGCAGGACGGGUAGGGUUUAUCGGCCUAAGGAUAAGCAUCCUUUGUGGUGUACUCUUAUCACGUGGUUCGUCCCAGACAUAGACAUACCCCUUUGAAGUAGAGAAACCAUAGAUAUCCUCUCUAUUCUGCUACCAUCGCCCAUAUACUAGAUUGCUCUACUCUCUAUUCCCAUAUUAUCACCCAUUGUUAUCUUACCUUUAAUAUUAUUCGAUUCUACCAUCUUUCCUAUUUACACCUAUUUACUUAUCCUGGUUAAGUUAGAGCGUAGUUGGUUCUCCCGUUUCCCUGUGGAUACGAUAAAACCUUUAACCGGGUAAAAGCUUCAACGGUAUCCGUGCGCUUGCGGAUUAUCUGUGUGCGUAUAAAUACCAUAGUACACUCUAGUGCCAUGCUGGGGAUGACAACCUAGUAUUCAAGUGGUGUUAGCAAGUGUCAACAAGCAUUUUUGGCGCCGUUGCCGGGGAAAACGGUUGCUGAGUUGACUACGAACUAGCUUAAUCAUUUUCUAAAAAAAAUAAAAAAAAAAUUUCCUUUUAUCCUUGUCUCAUCUCUGCUAAUCUUUUUUCUUAUCUAAUCCUUGAUCUCUGGUCUAUCAUGAAUUCAAACAUGUCUAUCUAUGAAUUUCAUAGACCUACGGGCACACAUCUCGAACCACCAAAAUCUUCAAAGCCUAUCAUAGCAUCUAGUUUUGAGAUAGACCCCGAAUACAUAGAAUUUGUUCAAAAACAACCUUUCUCAGGAGAAGGUGAGGAAAACCCAUACACACACCUAAGAGAGUUUUAUCGAGUCUGUGACCUCCUUCGCAUAGAAGGAAUGUCCGAUCAGACCCUUAAAUGGAAGCUCUUUCCGUUCUCUUUAACGGGAAAAGCUAGACAUUGGUACAAACUCAAAAUAGGGAGUGUUCAUGGAGAUUGGAAGGAGUUACAUAAUAGUUUUCUUUCUAAAUAUUUUCUAAUCUCCAAAGUGGCGGAACUUCGGCGUGAGAUUAUUUCUUUUAGACAACUAGAAGAAGAAUCUCUUACGAAAUCAUGGGACCGCUUUAUUAACCUUACUCUCACUGGCCCAAAGCUUUCUAUUCCAGAAGAAGUUCUUCUAAUUCACUUUUUUCAGGGCCUUAGUAGGGAAAAUAAGCAAACCUUGAAUACAGCCUCUAGAGAAUCCUUCUAUCACCUACCUGCUAGUGAAGCUUGGAAUUUGAUUGAUUUAUUAAGUGGGAAGUCUCCUAGCUUUUAUAUCCCUGAUAAAACGACAGAACCAGUUCCUAGACAAGAAGAAGAAGUUUCGAUAGCCAGAUCACAACCACUUCAAUUCCAAACUUUAGCUAUCGAUCCUAAACCAUCAAUACCCCAAAAUUCUCCAAGGGAGGAAGGAAUUCUGACCUUAAAUCUUUCAGAUGCUGAUGGUUUAGACUUAUGGUUCCAUAAGAGACCUUCAAGUAGGGAUAAUUCAAAUCCCUGCAAUAAUGGUUCUCUUAGAGAAUGUCCUGGUUCCUGUUAUGAAGAAGUUGAGGAUGACAUAUCAAGUGAAGGAGAGCUAAACUAUAUAGAAAAUUCUAUCUGCUCCCCUUCCAUGUUCACAAAUUCUAAAUCCAUCCUUUACCUUAGAGACCCCUCUUAUCCCUCUCCUUUUAAGUCUCAUGAUGAUCCUAAAAAUCCAUCAAGACUAUCAAACCAUAGGAGUCAUAAAGACCAUGAGGAUGACAUGUCAAGUAAUGUCAUAGAAGGAGAGCUAAGCCAUAUAGAAAAUCCUAACACCUCCCCUGUCUUGAUCACAAGUUCUAAAUGGCUAGAAUGUGUAGAAUGGAUGGAUAAGGAAGAAGCCUUAAUGGAUUCUGACUUUGGCUCAAUUUCAAAUGGUGAGUUCUUGACUCCCUUUGAAAAUGAGAUUCAUCCAACUACAGAAGAGGACAUAGGUGAGACCAAUUCAGGAGAAACUCCAAACAUUCAGAUUGGAGACGAAGAUAACAUUAAUGAGCAUGGAAUUUAUUUCAUAGCCACUUCAUUUACUCCAUGCUCAUAUGCAACAUCUUCCCAAUCUAUUGGUCUCUCCAACAUCACCACAUUUGAGAUCUCCAACCCCCUCUUCCUUUCUAUUUAUAAAAACUUUAAAAUGGCGGUUGUCGAUGCAUAUGUCUACAAUAAAUAUUGCAGAUCUCAUUGAGUUGAUCUUGAUAUAGGACAGCGUUGGAAGGGAAACCACUUCGCUGACAUAAAUUGAUGGUUUCCCAAGGACAAGCUUGGUGUCCUAAAAUAAGCACUAAUCAGAUCAUAACAUGAGUUUUUAAUUGUUUGCAACAUUACAUUGUGUAUUGAGCAUAUAAGGAUAAAUGUAAAAAUAUUCCUUCGGGUAUUCUUGUCACUAACCUUUCUAGGAUUGGAACAAGAAGAUCAGAUGAAUGACAAGCAAGUACAAGGUAUGUCCAACCAAUCAUCAUGCAACACUGAAUUAAAUUCAUCCAAACUUGAAUAUUGCAAAAUUCAAGCUUGGGGGAGUACUUUACAUAAAAACAUCCUUAACCAUGUUGCUAUGUUGGUUGUCCCUACCUUUAAGACAUGCUCAAUUUUUUAAAUACUAAUCACACUACUUCAUCUCCACUUGGGUAGAUCUCUAUAAAUGCUGUCAUGUUACCUUUGUCUAUUUACUAGUAAAUGUUAGUUUGGAAGUACUGCACAUACUUCUAUUGGCUUUUAAAUUAAGCAUGGUGCUUAGGUUAAACAGCCUUCCUUAAUCUGAUUAGACAUGGAGUCUAGUUCGGUUAUUGAACUAAAAACUGCUUGUGUAGACAUUGGUAUAUUUUUGACGGACUAACCCCUCCAGAAAAACUUUCAAUAUCGAUUUGGGAAGUCCUGAGAUAAACUCACAUCAGAGACGAAGAGAGUGACACAUGAAGUUUAACAAUUUGCACAAGAAGGACAUAGCUCAUUCAUCAUAGAGAGAUGAUCCAUGGAGGGUGCCACAAACACGAUGCACAACCGCUAAGAAAGGAAAGCUUCAACAAGGUGAUACUGUACCAUCACUCUUCAAGCAAGGUAACAUCUUAAGGUACUUGACUAUCACUUUUAUAAGCUUCUCCUUGGUUCUGGCGUUCAUAUAAAUAAAAGAGACAAACAUGUAUGAUUUACAACUCUAGAUUAACCAACCCAACUGAUUCAACAUGUUUAGUCCUUUAAUCCUUGUUCUUAGCACUACCUCCAUGAUCCCACACUCCUAAUCAUAUGAGCUAAAAUGUUACACAUUCAAUCAUUGAGAGAUAUAUAGAAAAAGACAUAUACAUAGAUAGAUUAUCUUUACAUCAGGUUGAGUGAUCUGAUGUGACAAACGUUAUAAGUGCUACACUCAUGAACUUUUCAUCCAUCAACUUUGUCUUGCUCACUAUGCUUAGGGUUAGAGAAGAACAAAUACACUUUAGGUUCUGUUGGUGUUUUCCACCAACAGGACCCAUGCACUUGAUCUCUGCCUUGUCACUAUGAGCAGGUACACUUUGAGCAAAACACGGAGGAGUUUUAUAACUCUCAGACUCUACCAAGUGAAGGACCUGGAUCUAUGAGCACAAACACACUGAGCAGGUUACUACCAACGCCGCACUUCGAACUGCUGGGCAAACGAAGAGGUGCAGACGUUAAGGUCCGCACCUGAAUCAAAUGACGCACCUGAAGAAUGAACACGGUGAGAAGUCUUGUUAAGAAGACUUAAAACAUUGAACCCUCGCCGAAAGGUAAGAUCGGUAGUUAUUCAUAUUUAUCCUUUCUGCAUUCCCUUUUUCCUUUAAUUAUUUACUUUCCUUAAAUAGAUUAUUAGUUAAUCAUGCUAUCUUGAAAAGAAAAUAAAAAUGUUAAAAAAAUACUAAGCCCCAUAUGAGUAUACGAGUGGCAUAAAACCCAUAAGUACCUUCACUGUGGUGGCAUAAAAAUAAAAUAAAUAUUUCUUUUCUGCUUUAUAAAAUAAAAAUAAAAAAACAGGGAGUAAUAUUUAUUGAGGAAGCUCAACAUGAUGAAGGCUAGAUAUUUAUGCUAACACUUAAUUAAUUCCACAAGCUUUGUUGUCUAUUUGAGCUCCACAGAACUUAAGAAUCAAGAAGACUAGCAGACGGAGAAUAUUCUAAUCGCUGUCAGAAUGCUGCUGACUUCCAAAUACACCUCUGCCACCUGCUAGCUACAUCAAGAGAAAUUACGUCAAAAUUCAGCUUGGGGGAGAGCACCCCCAUUUAUCUCGCUAAGUAUUUAUACCUAUCUUUAUACUUAUAUUAUAUUAGAAUACUAAAAUACAUAAACUAUGAAAAACCAAAUAAAGAUUUUGUGCUUAUAUAUAUAUCUUUUGCUUAAUGUGUUUAAUAAAUAAAUAAAGUGGCUAUGCUAAUCUGAAUCGUAAUAAUAAAACUCUAGCAUGGAUAUGAUGAAUAGUUUCUCUGCCUAGUUUGCACAUUUGAAGUUCUCUCUCAAGUUUAGACAUAACUGUUAUAAUUUAAUGCUUGCUCUAGAUCUAAACUUGUGGGAUGAAAACUUGAUCUGAAAUCUAAGUUGUUAACGGAUAUGAUAUGGGAAGGUUGAGCUGCUGUUUAUCUGUUCCUAGAGAUGCUAGAAUUCGGGAGAAUCUUAUCUUUGAAAAAUCUUUAAAAUAUUGCAUGAUGAGUUCCUGUAUGAUGAGAGUUUAAAUUCCUACCACAGCCAUAUAUACAUGCUUGCUAGACUUUGAGCCACACAUUUAUUAUUUACUGCUUAUGAGCAUUGAGUGUGGUCAAGCUGUGUAGACCCUUAGGAGCUUGUCAUGUGGUUAAAUCAAGAUUCACUUGCACGUUCACUCAUAUAUGCUACUUCUACUUCGGAAGUACCAUCCACAUAUAUCCAUCCAUGUCCAUCUCCAGAACCACCCAAAAAUAUUCUACUCCUAAUCCGGGAGAGAAUAGCCAAAAAUAUUUCUGUUUUCUCUUGUGAAAUAAAUGCUCAAGUUAUCUUGCUACUACCACUUGCUAUAUUAUCUCAAGAGAUGAGUGCUCUGAAAAAAAAGAGAAAAGAGAAAAAAAAUAUAAACGAGGAAAUAAAAAGGGGCAAGUGCCCGAAACCUCGAAAGAAAGAAAAAGUGAGACGAGAGGUAAAAAUGGACAAGUGUCCGACAGUAGAAUUAGGGGUACAAGAUACCCACCUGAGAGGAAAGAAAAAGAAGAGCAUCUCAUUCUCCUUAUAAAGUUUCAAAAAGCAAGGAAGGUAUGUAUCCCGUCAAAAGAGCAAAAGUAGAAUCAGACUUUCACCAUUGUUAUCACCAUCAUCACCAUACACCAUUCAUUCGCCACACAUGCACAUCUUGAUUUGGCUUAUUGAUUUGUUUCUUUGGAUCCAUGGUUUGACUAUACAAUAAAUGUCUUGUAAGUAUGUAUACUUUAUCUCCCACCUAUGAGCUCCAGAUAUUAAAGCCUUAUUAGAGUAGGGUGAGAGAGAAGGCAAUGUCACUAUGCCUUAUACCACAAAUACCACAUAUCUUGAGAGAAGGCAUAUACCAUCACUGCCUUGGUAAGGAUCCAGAAAUACCACAAAAGAGAGAUUUAGAGAGUCAUACAAGGAAUCUCUGAGUUUUAUUUGAAAAUCUGCAAAAACUCCAGAGCUAUAGCUGAUCAAGAAUAAGAGACAUGGCACUUGGCUAGACUGUUCUAUCUUUUAACUACUCAAGACAGAAGUGACGGUUACAAGUCCCAUGGUGAAAGGUAAAGUAAGUAAGUUUUAGUUCUUGACAGUUUACUCUAAUUUAGAGAUGAGAUCUUAUUUAAAAGCAUGUGUACCGUCAAAUUUUUAAGAUAUUGCAACAACUUCUGAUCCAUUGCUGAGAUUAUCCUUGCUUAGGGACGAGCAAGAGUUAAGCUUGGGGGAGUUUGUUGACGGUCCUUAAGUAUCACAUUUAAUUAUCAAAUAAACAAAGAAAAGGAUUCAAAUGAAAUCAACAUCUAGACUUAGGGUUUUAUCUGACAGAAUUCCAUGAGUUUUGGGGUUUGUCUAUUUCUGCAGGGGGUUAUCAGGAAAUACGGAAGAAAGGCCCACACGUCGGGAUUACAUAGAGAUAUUAACGUACCGCGCAAUUAUCUUACAUCUAGAAGACUCCAGAAGCCACAGGAAGGAAGCGGAGGCCGAACGGGGCCAGAGGCAGGGCGCCCGCCCUCCUGCCCUGGACGCCCGCCCACCUCUGGAGCCCAAUCGGGACUCUUUCUCUCGGGAGAUCUCCACCGACCUAAAGGAUCAAGAAUAACCGUUCAAUCAAUGUCGGUUUGAUCCGACGGCCCAGGUUCACUUGAGGGGACUAUAAAACCAGACCCCCUGGCCCCUGGAGGAGGCACCCCUUGAUCAUUAAUCAUUAUUCAUAGACAGAGCAAAAGCUAGGGUUUAGAGAUGAGAGCUCUCCUCUCUUCUCUAAACUAGAGUAGAUCUAGAUAGUAGCAAGAUGGAGAGCGAAGGAGGAUUAGAGGAGAGGCCGGCCUGUCGGUUCUUCCUCCGGUUGUACUUCGUCAUGAUCAAGCUCUAAUCAAGCUUGCUCAUGGGAUGACUCUGGUAAUCUACUUCUAAUUCAUUAUGCAAUUACUAAUUAUGUAUGUUCUGGUUCACAACUCUUUUGAGUAUUCUAAUCUAUAGGACGCUAUAGGUUAGAGUUGUAGUAUAGGUGUAAGCGUGGUGCUUAGACCUAGAUUACUUGUGGAUAUCCCCUGUCUAGCUGGAUCGUGUGGUAGGCCGCGUAGAUGACAGUUACGUUGGUCCUCUGUAGUCCACCUCUCGUUAGCAUGACGGGUAGGGUUUAUCGGCCUAAGGAUAAGCAUCCUUUGUGGUGUACUCUUAUCACGUGGUUCGUCCCAGACAUAGACAUACCCCUUUGAAGUAGAGAAACCAUAGUUAUCCUCUCUAUUCUGCUACCAUCGCCCAUAUACUAGAUUGCUCUACUCUCUAUUCCCAUAUUAUCACCCAUUGUUAUCUUACCUUUAAUAUUAUUCGAUUCUACCAUCUUUCCUAUUUACACCUAUGUACUUAUCCUGGUUAAGUUAGAGCGUAGUUGGUUCUCCCGUUUCCCUGUGGAUACGAUAAAACCUUUAACCGGGUAAAAGCUUCAACGGUAUCCGUGCGCUUGCGGAUUAUCUGUGUGCGUAUAAAUACCAUAGUACACUCUAGUGCCAUGCUGGGGAUGACAACCUAGUAUUCAAGUUGUGUUAGCAAGUGUCAACAAUGAUUGGUUGGACAUACCUUGUACUUGCUUAUCAUUUAUCUGAUCUUCUUGUUCCAAUCCUGGAAAGGUUAGUGACAAGAAUACCCGAAGGAAUAUUUUUACAAUUAUCCUUAUAUGCUCAAUACACAAGGUAAUGUUGCAAAUAAUUAAAAACUCAUGUUAUGAUCUGAUCAGUGCUUAUUUUAGGACACCAAGCUUGUCCUUGGGAAACCAUCAAUUUAUUUCGGCGAAGUGGUUUCCGUUCCAACGCUGACCUAAAUCAAGAUCAACUCAACGAGAUCUGCAAUAUUUAUUAUAGACAUAUGCAUCGACAACUGCCCUUUUAAAGUUUUUAUAAAUAGAAAGGAAGAGGGGGUUGGAGAUCUCAAAUGUGGUGAUGUUGGAGAGACCAAUAGAUUGGGAAGAUGUUGCAUAUGAGCAUGGAGUAAACGAAGUGGCUAUGAAAUAAAUUCUAUGCUCAUUAAUGUUAUCUUCGUCUCCAAUCUGAAUGUUCGGAGUUUCUCCUAGAUUGGUCUCACCUAUGUCCUCUUCUGUAGUUGGAUGAACCUCAUCUUCAAAGGGAGUCAAGAACUCACCAUUUGAAAUUGAGCCAAAGUCAUAAUCCAUUAAGGCUUCUUCCUUAUCCAUCCAUUCUACACAUUCUAGCCAUUUAGAACUUGUGAUCAGGAAAGGGGAGGUGUUAGAAUUUUCUAUAUGGUUUGGCUCUCCUUCUAUGACAUUACUUGACAUGUCAUCCUCAUGGUCUUUAUGACUCCUAUGGUUUGAUCGUCUUGAUGGAUUGUUAGGAUUAUCAUGAGACUUAAAAGGAGAAGGAUAAGAGGUGUCUCUAAGGUCAAGGAUGGAUUUAAAAUUUGUGAACAUGGAAGGGGAGAAGAUAGAAUCUUCUAUAUGGUUUAGCUCUCCUUCACUUGAUAUGUCAUCCUCGACUUCUUCAUAACAGGAACCAGGACAUUCUCUAAAAGAACCAUUAUUGCAAGGAUUUGAAUUAUCCCUGCUUGAAGGUCUCUUAUGAGACCAGAAGUCUAAACCAUCAGCAUCUGAAAGAUUUAAGGUCGGAAUUCCUUCCUCCCUUGGAGAAUUUGGGGGUAUUGAUGGUUUAGGAUCGAUAGCUAAAGUUUGGGAUUGAAGUGGUUGUGAUCUGGCUAUCGAAACUUCUUCUUUUUGUCUAGGAACUGGUUCUGUCUCUUUCUCAAGGAUAUAAUAGCUUGGAGACUUUCUGCUCAUUAAAUCAAUCAAAUUCUAAGCUUCACUAGCGGAUAGGUGGUGGAAAGAUCCUCCAGAGGCCGCAUGAAGGGUUUGCUUAUUUUCCCUACUAAGGCCCUCAAAAAAGUGUAUUAGAAGAACUUCUUCUGGAAUAGAAAGCUUUGGGCCAGUAAGAGUAAGGCUAAUGAAGCGGUCCCAUGAUUUGCCAAGAGAUUCUUCUUCCAGUUGUCUAAAAGAAAGAAUCUCAUGCCAAAGUUCCACCACUUUGGAGAUUGGAAAAUAUUUAAAAAGAAAACUAUUAUGUAACUCCUUCCAAUCUCCAUGAACACUCCCUAUUUUGAGUUUGUACCAAUGUCUAGCUUUUCCCGUUAGAGAGAACGGAAAGAGCUUCCAUUUAAGGGUCUCAUCGGACAUGCCUUCUAUGCGAAGGAGGUCACAGACUCUAUAAAACUCUCUUAGGUGUGUGUAUGGGUUUUCCUCACCUUCUCCUGAGAAAGGUUGUUUUUGAACAAAUUCUAUGUAUUCGGGGUCUAUCUCAAAACUAGAUGCUAUGAUAGGCUUUGAAGAUUUUGGUGGUUCGAGAUGUGUGCCCGUAGGUCUACGAAAUUCAUAGAUAGACAUGUUUGAAUUCAUGAUAGACCAGAGAUCAAGGAUUAGAUAAGAAGAAAGAUUAGCAGAGAUGAGGCAAAGGAUAAAAGGAAAAAAUAUAUAUUUUUUUAUUUUUUUUAGAAAAUGAUUAAGCUAGUUCGUAGUCAACUCAGCAACCGUUUCCCCGGAAACGGCGCCAAAAAUGCUUGUUGACACUUGCUAACACCACUUCAAUACUAGGUUGUCAUCCCCAGCAUGGCACUAGAGUGAACUAUGGUAUUUAUACGCACACAGAUAAUCCGCAAACGCACGGAUACCGUUGAAGCUUUUACCCGGUUAAAGGUUUUAUCGUAUCCACAGGGAAACGGGAGAACUGAUCUACGCUCUAACUUAACCUAGAUAGAUAGAUAGGUGUAAAUAGGAAAAAUGGUAGAAUUGAAUAGGAACAAUAUUAAAGGUAAGAUAACAGUGAGUGAUAAUAUGGGAAUAGAGAGUAGAGCAAUCUAGUAUAUGGGCGAUGGUAGCAGAAUAGAGAGGAUAACUAUGGUUUCUCUACUUCAAAGGGGUAUGUCUAUGUCUGGGACGAACCACGUGAUAAGAUUACACCACAAAGGAUGCUUAUCCAUAGGCCGAUAAACCCUACCCGUCCUGCUAACGAGAGGUGGACUAUAGAGGACCAACGUAACUGUCACCUACGCGGCCUACCACACGAUCCAGCUAGACAGGGGAUAUCUACAAGUAAUCUAGGUCUAAGCACCAUGUUGACGGUCCUUAAGUAUCAAAUUUAAUUAUCAAAUAAAUAAAGAAAAGGAUCCAAAUGAAAUCAACAUCUAGACUUAGGAUUUUAUCUGACAGAAUUCCACGAGUUUUGGUGUUUGUCUUUUCUGCAGGGGGUUAUCAGGAAAUAUGGAAGAAAGGCCCACACGUCGGGAUUACGUAAAGAUAUUAACGUGCUGCGCAAUUAUCUUACAUCUAGAAGACUCCAGAAGCCACGAGACCGAAGCGGAGGCGAAACGGGGCCUGACCCAGGGCACCCGCCCAGUUGGUCAGGGCGCCCGCCCUGCCCCUGAGUCCAAUUAGGACUCUGCUUUGCGGGAGAUUUCCACCGACCUAAAGGAUGAAUCUAAACCAUACAAUCUAUGUCGGUUUGAUCCAAGGGCCCAUAUUCACUUGAAGGAACUAUAAAACCAGACCCCCUGGCCCCUGGAGGAGAGAGCCUCUCAACCCUAAUUUAUUGUUCCAUCAAGGGAGAAGAAGCCUCUGAUCAAGAUUAGAGCCACCACAUCAAUUAGAUAUCUAGAUUAGCAUAGCUACAUAGGAUUAGAACUAGAAGGAGUCAAUCUUCGAUUGGUUUCCGGAUCUGUCAAGAGGAUUCUUGGUAAUUCUCUAAUUGUGCUUCUAAUUGCUUUCUAAUUAUCUUUGUUCUUCAAUAUUAUGAAUAUGAAUUUGUUCUACUUCAAUAUAUUGCUUAUGACUUUGCUCUACUUGCUUAUAUUCAAGAUUAUAUUGUUCUUAGUUUAUCAUAGUUAUGUACUUGGCUUAGUUAGAUUCGAUCUAUAUACAUGCUUAGGAUCGUAUAGCGUUUAUCCAUCGGAUCCAUGGGUAAAUGAUAGAUAUUGUGUAGGCAUGGUGCUUAUACCGUAUUUGUCUGCGAUUGUACCCAAUAUGCCAGAUCAUGGGGUGGUUCGUGAUAGUGACAGCUUCAUUGAUUCUUAUAUAGUCCCCCUCUCGUGUAUUGGGCUGGCAGAGCAACAUUAUUACAGGGGAGUGAUUGCUAUGUUUCUCAUAUUCCUUGCUAAUAUCACUAUGCAUGGGCGUAGUCUUGUCUCGCAAUGAUUGCUAAGUAUGCUUGCACUAACUAUGAUAUGCUAGACUAUAUAGUUGAGAGUAACUUAGGGAAUAUUCUUGUAGUUCGUUCUAAUACCAUGCUAAUGACUUUCUAGAGUAUCUAAUUGAGGUGCUUAUCAUAUUUAUUAUGUGGCUAGAUCAGAUUAGUUAUCCUUGUCACUAUUAUUAUUUCAUAUAUCUUUUAUGUGACACUUAUCCCUGUAUGAAGAGUUAGAUAUAAUGUUCUCAAUUAUACAUGCAAUGAUAGAUGCUCAAUCUUAUAUUCUAUUCUGUAAUCAAUAGUGAUGAUUGCUAAUCCCUUCCCAGUGGUAAAAAUAUAAAUAACGAUACCUGGAAUACUUCCCGGUUAAAAUGCUGCAUCGGUAUUAAUCUGUGCGCUUGUAGAUCCCAUUCAUUAUUUAUUUAGAAGAGCAAUUGCAUAUUUCAAUACCGCAUCUCUUAUAUCAUGCUGGGGAUGACAACUUGGCUUAAGUGGUGUGAGGGAUAGGUUUGGCAUUUUUGGCACCGUUACUAGAUUUAGAGAACUUAGUCUACUUUUGGUAAUGAUGUUAAGAAUACCCAACAAGCAUAUUUGGCGCCGUUGCCGGGGAAGGUUGAUUACUAAUCAGGAAUGGAAUAAAAGAUUUUGAGUUAUCAUUCGCAUCACUAAUAUGAUUGAGCUUAUCUAUUCUCUCAUACAGUUUUACCCCGAUAUUUUUCUAUUUUAUCUUAUGCAGGGGAAGGUAUGAAUAGAAGACAUCUUCCAGGAAAUUUUGUUGACAACCCUGAAGCAUUAUUCAAGAAGAUGAGAGCCAAGCUAAAGAAAUAAUCAACAUUUUAGCAAGAAGCUUCAUCCAAUCAAGAAGAUCACCGGAACUUGUCUUCAGAGUUCGAAGCCAUGGCGAACAAAUCAAUCCGUGAGUUCUUAGCUCCCACUACGGACAACAUCCGCACUGGACCUGCUGCAGAGAUCGAUGGCAACUUUGAGCUCAAGCCUGGACUUAUCAACAUGGUGCAAUCCAACCAGUUCUGUGGGAAGGCACAUGAAGAUGCUAGUGCUCAUUUACAACACUUCCUGGAGAUUUGCAACACAUUCACCAUAUCAGGAGUUUCCAAAGAUGCUAUACUACUUCGCCUCUUCCCAUUCUCACUGUUAGGAAGAGCGAAGCAGUGGUUCUACGCUACAAAGGAGAAGAAUACUACGUGGGCACUCUGCUCAACAAACUUCCUGGCUAAGUUCUUUCCCAUGGGCAAGACCAAUGCUCUCCGUGGGAAGAUUACAAGUUUUCAGCAACAAAAUGAUGAAUCUAUUCCAGAAGCAUGGGAGCGCUUUCAAGACUACAUCCUAGAAUGUCCCCAUCAUGGAAUGGAGAGUUGGCUAUUGAUGCAGACGUUUUAUCAUGGGCUCGGCAACAAUGCCCGAGAGACCAUGGAUGCUGCAGCUGGAGGAGCAUUCUUAUCACUUACUAUACCACAAGCCACAGCUCUUGUGGAGAAGAUGGCGUCCAAUCAAAGCUGGAAUGAAGAGAGGACCCAGACACGCAAGAGAGGUGGAGGUAUGCAUCAGCUGAAGGAGGUAGACAUGCAGUCUGCAAAGCUAGACCUGCUCAUGAAGAAGCUCAAUGAUAGAGCUGGAGACAAGAAAGAAGUUAUGCACACCUACGACUCUCACAUGACUUAUGAGGAGUGUGGAGACACUGGACACUCAGGCAACCACUGCCCUGAGAUACUUGAGGAUGUGAACUACAUCAACAACAACUACUACUACUACUACAACCGUCCUCAACAAAAUCAAGGUUGGAAUCAACAGAGGCCUAACUACUCAGGUAAUUAUCAAGGUAACAAUUCUUACAAUAAUAAUUUUCCACCUUUGAGAGAGUUAGUGUCUAAUCAAGGAAAGCUAAUGGAUAACCUAUCUAAGAAAUUGGCAUCUAAUGAUAAAAUGCUAGAAAAUAUAAAUAAUAGAAUGGAUAAUUUUUCUACUGCCAUCAAGAAUCAAAUUAGCUUUAAUAAAAUGAUUGAAUCUCAGUUAAAUCAAAUAGCUGCUGCUGUUCCUACUACUAACCCCGGUAUACCAUCACAACCGGAAGGAUUAGAAUCUGCAAAUCUUGUAGACAUGUUUGAUGCAGGUAAUUGGAGUAACCCCGUCAAUGAAUUCUCUACUGACCUUCUGCUGGUCAAGAGUGGAGAUCCAGGACGCCCCGUCAUCCCGAUCUCCAUCGGCAUGGUGGACAUUCUAGAAGCACUCUGUGACUUUGGCUCCAGUGUCAACAUUAUACCCAGGGUACUCUAUGAAAAAUUCUUUAAAUAUCCUUUAUUAGAGACAACCAUGUGUUUGCAAUUUGCAGAUCAGACGAUAACUUUUCCAAAAGGAAUAUUGAAGAACCUUUGUGUCCGAGUUGGUACCUUGUAUGCCCUAGCAGACUUCGUAGUAGUAGAGACCGGAAAUGAUGAGAGAGCACCCAUCAUCUUAGGGAGGCCAUUCUUGAACACCACGGGAGCUAUCAUCUACGCCAGUGCUGCCAAGAUCAGUUUCUACGUCAAAGGGAGGAAGGAGACAUUUUUCUUCAAGAACAAGACUACACAAAUUCCAGAUCAAUCCAGACGUGAAUCAAGGAAGAGGACCAAUAGGAGGAACAGGAACAAGCAAGUGUGGACCGAGUCAGCUAAGAUGGUCACUGUAGUUCAUGGAGGCCAAGAUCACCAACUUAAGUCACCGUGUUUGACCAAGAAGGACGACCCAGGAAUGCCAAGCAUUUACUGCUCCAUAAAUGGAUACAACUUCUACAAGACAUUUUGUGACACCGGAUCAGGCGUCAACAUAAUGGCCGCAGUCACCUAUCGGCUCUUGUUCGGGACCAUGCCCCUAAGACCAACAUACAUUCAGCUCCAGAUGGCAGAUCAGACAUUUCGAGAAGUUAAAGGAAUAGUAACUGAUGUCCCAGUCAAAAUAGACGAUCACUUUGUCUACACAGACUUUCAAGUUAUUGACAUGGGAGAAGAUGAAUACGAUCCACCCAUCAUCCUUGGAAGACCGUUCCUCGGCACCGUCAAAGCAAUUAUCUACAUUGGAACCGGAGAAGUCCAUAUGCACUUCCCCUCAGAGAAGGUACGCCGUUAUUUUACUGACCCUAACUAUAUUGUUAAAGAAUCUAAGCAGGUCAGAAAGAGACGCAACCGCAACCAGAGGAGGCAGAUCAUCAAGGACGGAUGGGCAGACUAUGAAGGAGAAGUUGUAAGAUCAGAAGACGUUGAGUUUAAACAGAAUUAUCCAGAGGAGAUUGAAGCACCGAGUCAGGUAUAGAAAAUGAAGAUAACUAUACAAGAAGAGGAGGCGCUGCCGGAAGUACCGACUACGCCACCCAACGAACCUCAGGACGAUUGAAAAAAUGGAGAGUCCCGUUCGGUGGACUUAAAAACACCGAACGCCUUGCCAAGAGGUAAACUUGGUAGUUAUCCUUUCCCUUUCAAUUAUUUUAAAUAGUUUACUUAGUUAAUCAUGUUCGUACUAUCUUAAAAAGAAAAUAAAAAUAUGAGAAAAACAGUAAGCCCCAUGUGAGUAUACGAGUGGCAUAAAACCCAUAAGUACAUUCACUGUGGUGGCAUAAAAAUAAAAUAAAUAUUUUUCUGCUUUAUAAAAUGAAAAUAUAAAAACAGGGAGUAAUAAUUAUUAAGGAGUCUCAACAUGAUAAAGGCUAGAUAUUUAUGCUAACACUUAAUUAGUUCCACAAGCUUUGUUGUCUAUUUUAGCUCCACAGAAUUUAAGAAUCAAGAAGACUAGCAGACGGAGGACAUUCUAAUCGCUGUCAGAAUGCUGCUGACUUUCAAAUACACCUCUGCCGCCUGUUAGCUACAUCAAGACAAAUUACGUCAAAAUUCAGCUUGGGGGAGAGCAUCCCCAUUUAUCCCGGUAAGUAUUUCUAUCUAUCUUUAUACUUAUAUUAUUUUAGAAUAUAAAUAUACAUAACUAUGGAAAACCAAAUAAAGAGUUUAUGCUUAUAUAUAUACAUAUAUAUAUAUAUAUAUCUUUUGCUUAGUGUGUUUAAUAAAUAAAUAAAGUGGCUAUGCUAAUCUGUAUCUAAAUAAAACUUAAGCAUGGAUAUGAUGAAUAGUUGCUCUGCCUAAUUUGCACAUUUUAAGUUCUCUCUCUCAAGUUUAGAUAUAACUGUUAUAAUUUAAAGCCUGCCCUAGACCUAAACUUGUGGGAUGAAAACUUGAUCUAAAGUCUAAGUUGUUAACGGAUAAGAUAUGGGAAGGUUGAGCUGCUGUUUAUCUGUUCCUAGAGAUGCUAGAAUUCUGGAGAAUUUUAUCUUUGAAAAUCUUUUAAAAUGUUGCAUGAUGAGUUCCUGUAUGAUGAGAGUUUUAAAUUCCUACCACAGCCAUAUAUACAUGCUUGCUAGACUUUGAGCCACACAUUUACUAUUUACUGCUUAUGAGCAUUGAGUGUGGUCAAGCUGUGUAGACCCUUAGGAGCUUGUCAUGUGGUUAAAUCAAGAUUUCACUUGCACGUUUACUCAUAUAUGCUACUUCUACUCCGGAAGUACCAUCCACAUAUAUCCACCCAUUCCAUCUCCAAAAUCACCCAAAAAUAUUCUACUCCUAACCCGGGAGAGAAUAACCAAAAAUAUUUCUGUUUUCCCUUGUGAAAUAAAUGCUCAAGUUAUCUUGUUACUACCACUUGCUAUAUUAUCUCAAGAGAUGAGUGCUCUAAAAAAAGGAGAAAUACAAGGAAAUAAAAAGGAGCAAGUGCUCGGAACCUCGAAAGAAAAGAAAAAAAAGUGAGACGAGAGGUAAAAAUGGACAAGUGUCCGACAGUAGAAUUAGGGGUACAAGAUACCCACCUGAGAGAAAAGAAAAAAAAGAAGAGCAUCUCAUUCUCCUCAUAAAGUUUCAAAAAGCAAGGAAGAUAUGUAUCCCCUCAAAGAGCAAAGUAGAAUUAGACUUCCACCACCAUUGUUUUCACCAUUGUUAUCACCAUCAUCACCAUACAUCAUUCAUUCGCCACACAUGCACAUCUUGAUUAAACUCAUUGGCUUGUUUCUUUGGAUCCAUGGUUUGACUAUGCAAUACAUGUCUUGUAAGUAUGUAUACUUUAUUUCCCACCUAUGAGCUCCAGAUAUUAAAGCCUUAUUAGAGUAGGGUGAGAGAGAAGGCAAUGUCACUAUGCCUUAUACCACAAAUACUACAUAUCUUGAGUGAAGGCAUAUACCAUCACUGCCUUGGUAAGGAUCCAGAAAUACCACAAAAGAGAGACCUGAGAGAAUCAUACAAGGAAUUCUGAGUUUUAUUUGAAAAUCUGCAAAAAACCCCAGAGCUAUAGCUGAUCAAGAAUAAGAGACAUGGCACUUGGCUAGACUGUUCUAUCUUUUAACUGUUCAAGAUGGAAGUGACGGUUAUAAGUCCCAUGGUGAAGGUAAAGUAAGUAAGUUUUAAGUCUUGACAGUUUACUC